UCAUUUCUCAACUCUAAACCCUAAACUCUAAACCCUAAACCCUAAACAAUAAACCAUAAACCCUAAACCCUAAACCCUAAACUCUAAACCCUAAACCCUAAACUCUAAACUCUAAACCCUAAACCCUAAACCCUAAAUCCUAAACCCUAAAUCCUAAACCCCACCCUUUAAUUCUAAACCAUAAGUUUGUGACUUUUGAUAAAACAUUAAGUGCUAUUUUUGUGACUUUUGACCUUGAGUGCUAGUUUGGGAACAUAAACUUGAUUUAGUGCUAUUUUUGUCUUUUUCUCAUAAAUGUAAGAGUAAUGAUUCUGGGACGUUUUGGUUUCUAUGGUUUCUCUGCAGGGUGGAGGCACGGAAGAAGAAGGAGAAUGACGCAGGGGAAAAUAACCUUAAAAAUUUAUGGGCCUAUACUAAUCAUACAUAAGCCCAAACAAUUUGUUUCUGAUGCCCAAAUAUCGGGCCUCCCCGUGACGCGCGAGCAAGGAAGACAGCGUACAGACCACACUACGCUCUAGGCCUGAAGGGAGAGCGUGGGCUACACAGACGUCCUACCGAGCUGACACGUGUCAACAAAAACCCCAACCUAUUUUGGUGUCGUGGAGGACUGUGUGCAUCACACAAAUCAACUUUAUUAUAUAUAGAUUUCAAACUCUUAUUCAAAUGUCACUUAUUCUAAAAUCAUACAUGACAGUGUUAGAGGCCUCGACCACCAAAUUAAAUAAAUCAUAAUUUUUAAGCUCAGAUUUUAAUAAUGAAUAUAGGUCUCAACCUUCAUUUUUAGUUUGAAUUUAUAAUAUAUUGAGUAGAUUUAGAAAAAAAUGAUACGUUUAUAAUAACUGCAACUUUUUAUAUGCUUGGUUUUAUAUUUGUAUAGCUUGAUUUUAAAUAUACAUAUAUAUAUAAAUAUGGGCGAAAAUCUUUCUAAUAACAAGAUUUACUUCAUUUUAUAGUUUCUAUACUAUUAAACACACAAAUUUGAUCACAUCCAUAAAUCAAUAUGACUUUUUAACUUAAGAGACACUUCAGAAAAUCAUCUGUUAAAAACAAAUUCUAUAUUUUACACUAUUUUUUAUAAAAAGAAUUUAUAGUAAAAUCUGUUAUUUAAAAUCUACUAAAACUUACAAACCUAUAAUAUUAAAUUAAUCAAAAAUAUGCCACGUAAUUCUUAAGUCUCACCAUCUCAGCAACAAAUGCAGUUCUUAUAAAAUGCACACAAGCAAUAAAACGAGAGACUGGACAUUCGGGUCUUCAUGCCAGUACAGAUCGGUUCCUUUUGAGUUUGGGUUCCUUGGGUCCUAAACAAUUGAAUAAUUGGGUAUUUGAAAACUUUUGGUUCGUCUUCAGGUUGGUCUUUUUCAGGUUGAAGUUAGAGCAGGUCCAUAAUUUGAAUAACUGUAAUUUUUGGGAAUGUGGCGGGUCUAGAUUGGUUUGGAUAUUUAGUACCGAAAAAGAAUCAAAGUAUUCAAAAACCGAGAAACUGAAAAUACCCAAAUCUUUUUCCAAGUACCCAAAAUACACUUUUUAAAAAUUUGGAAUUUCAACUGAAACCCGAAAUUAUAAUCGAAAACAAAAACCAAAUUUUUUUUUAAAAAAAGUAUAUAUAGUACCAAAAACCUAUCCAAAAUAUCCAAUAUACCUAACAUACACAAAAAAAUUUGAAGUACUGUAAGUACCCGAUCGGGUUUCGGGUAUGAACCAGACCCGCUGGUCCAAGAAUAAAAUCUAAUAUGUACUUUGCCUUUGACCCAGACCCAAACUGUACCAAUAUUGUAUGAUCGAUUUCGGUUUAUUUUUUCGGUUCCGGAAAAAUAUCCAAAUGUAAACGAAAGAAAGAGUUACAUAAGAGUGUACAUACAAAAAAUUUAAUAAACUAAUUCAUAAAUUAUAUAAUUUUAAUUAAACUUUUUAGGUAUAAUAUGACUCUAUAACAUGAUAAUAUACAAAAACUAUAAAAAACUAAUUCACAAAUUUUAUUUACAACCUAAAGAACAACCCGCGCUUUCUAAGCGAGGAUCAAAAGGAUUAUAAUUUUAGAAACAUUUAACUCAUUUUGGUGAUCAUUAAGAGCACACAAUCAAACCCAAAACUUGUCUUUUGUAUGAGCUGUGAAAGUUGUUGAGAAAGGUGCUCUAAUUUUCUGUUUGGUUGAUGGUAAUUUAUUAGUGAUUUUGUGUUUGUGUCAUGGUCAUAUAUAUAUGGUCCGGUAAGGUUCUUUAGUUCUUACAUUUACUGGUGAACAUGUUCUAGGUCGAUAAAGCAGAUCAUAAAAAAUAUAUUAUUUAAUUUUCUCAUCAGAGUUAUUAGCAAAGUGAUACUUCCUCUGUAUUUUAAACCGUUUGUUCUUGUGGUGCCAUCUUAAAACGGAUUGGUUUCAAGUUUGUAACUCUUGAUGUAUUUUAUUAUGCUUCUGUUUGCAGCACUUCGGGCUGUCCUUUCGGAGAGAACUGCCAUUUCUUGCAUUACGUACCCGGAGGAUACAAUGCUGUAGCAGCUGACAAACAUGACACCACCCAUGCCUCAAGUUUCAAGAAACAUGCAAGGGAGAUUCUCAGGGAGAGGAGACUCUGGUCCUGGCCACCUCUCUAGCUUUGGUGCCUCGGCCACUGCAAAAAUCAGCGUGGAUGCUUCAUUGGCAGGCGCAAUCAUUGGAAAAGGUGGAGUCAGUUCCAAACAGAUAUAUCGUCAAACAGGGGCGAAGCUAACGAUUCAAGAUCACGAGAGGGACCCGAACCUGAAGAACAUUGAGCUUGAAGGAACGUUUGAGCAGAUAAACGAAGCGAGCGUGAUGGUUAGAGAGCUGAUUGGGAGGCUCAACUCGGCAGCUAGGAGACCACCAGCUGGUGUUGUUGGUGGGGUUGGUUCUGAAGGGAAACCGCAUCCAGGGAGCAACUUCAAGACGAAGAUGUGUGAGAGAUUCUCUAAAGGAAGCUGUACGUUUGGUGAUAGAUGUCACUUUGCACACGGGGAAGCGGAGCUACGCAGGUCAGGAAUCUCCUCCUGAGUUAUUAUUGCUGGAGUUAGAAGAGAAGUUUACUUGCAAAACAAGUCUCUUCCUUUUGUGCUCAAUUCACGUCUUCACCUACUUACUUUUUUUUUGUGCUGUUUUCUUUUGUUUAUGAGAAUACAAUGUUAGUUUCAUUGUCAUUGUAUGUUUUUUUUUUAGAAUUUAGUUUUUGUUAGAUCAAGUUUGGGAGGUUUCAUGAAUGAUAUUCACAACAAACAGUGGCUAGGAUUUGUAUGCUGCCUUUAUUUGAUUAUCUCCAUAUCAUCUGGUCAUAUGAUUUUCUGAAUAUGUUGAGGGUUUUUCUUGUAGUAGAAAAAAUAUCUAUAGGACAAAUAUAAUCAAUUUCGUGCAUGUUUAACGGUUCUUCCAGUUCAUCAAGUGAUAGAGCCAUUAAGGCUUGGUCCAUCGACCCCAUGGCAUCAAAGUCUACAUUAGUGGAGUUUUCAGAUCCAUAAACAUCCGUUGGUCUUCCUUGCCUUGUUGGCUUUAGAAAAUGUUUAAAGAGAAAAAAUAAAAUAAAAAUAAAAAAGUUGUAAAAAUCACGUAUUAUUGCUUUGUUGGCUUUAGAAAAAACAACACAAAAGAAGAUAGAGAAAAUUUUAAAGACUUUAGAGAUUUAGGAUGAUUAUUUUUUAAAAAAAGUCUGAUUAGUAUAGGUGUAUAAUUUUCGUUUGACAAUUGUCAAAAAUAUCUUAUGUGGAUCUAAGUACACUUCCUUAUGUAUUUUCGUUUGUUUGUUUGUGCAAAGUGCAACCAUACUUCGUUGCGUCCAAUACACCACUAAAAAUAACACUCCUUUUCUAGUGGUGCACUUUUUUUCAUUUUUGUGGUUAUUCACAAUGAAAAUUGACAACCUUGUGUAAUAUUAGGGUGCCAACUCAACUGCCAAGGUUCUUUAACAAAAAAAAACGAAAAAUAAUAUAGCGAAAAAGUUAGCCAAUCAAUUUAAAGACAUGUGUAAUCUAUAGUUUAACUCUAAAAUAUAUUAUUUACAUUUUUAAAUAAUCAUAUAAAAAAUGCUUCAACUCCUAAAAUUUCAUCAGGAACAAUAGAAAAAAAAACAAUUAAAAAGAAGCAAAAUCAGACCAUUUUAUUCAGCAACUUUCCUUAGCUGCAUUUUAGAAAACAUGACAGUCAAUAAAACAGAGAUCGCAACUCUAGUUUCAACUUAUGCCACUGCAAAAAGUCAACCUUUUUGGACGGAUAAAUGGUAGAAAGACCAGAAGACCCACACACCGGGGCCCAUAUAUUGACAGCGUGGCAUCACAGAAGCCCACCAGCCAAACUAUCUCGUUCUUGUCCGGUCUUUCCUAGUUUCAUCGUCUCUCACCGGUUUGUCUCUCCACGCUUCUCUUACCUGCGUUCGAUUCCGUAAUCUCGACUCCGAAGUCUAACUCUUCGUCUGAGAGACGAAGACCGCUCGUCUCAGAGAAGGCGUUUUCCAGACUCCCUGCGACGACGACGAGAUUACCGCUGCUUGGCUCGCACCUAAAGACGUUCCUCCUCAGAAGAUGUCAUGUGUUGUUGUUCAUAUUGCAGGUAGCACCAUUACAGAUAGAUUCUUGUGUAUUUCAAGUAUGAAUCUCUUUAUUCACAUGGAAACAGAUUCCAUAGUUAUAGAACUAGUUGCUCUGCUCUAUGGUGGAAUGGCUUUUUCUAAUUGUUUAUGUGAUCUUCAUCUGUGCACGCACACCAGCUUAUGGGAUAAUAUUUAUUACAAUAGUUAUUCAGUUUGUAAAUAUCAUAUCUUGGUGCAUUGCUUGUAGGGACAGGUGAUCAUACAUAUGACAGGAGAUUGCGUCUAGGUUGACCUUUGGUGAAGCAAAACAUUGCAACAAUGGUGCUGGAGAGGUAAUCAGAGAGACUCUUUCUCUCUCUCUCUCUCUCUCCUGUGACUUGAAAUCUUCUUUUUGCUUUGAUCAAACAUUAGAUAAAUCCCCACUGCAUCCCUUUCUCCUCUGUGUUAGUGAUCUACUUUUACUAGGGAGGGCAACGAUCGAAGAGUCUCGCAGUCUUCUUAUUCACUGGCUAGACACCGAGGAAGGCUUUGGAAAGAUGGGUGUUUGUGGGCGCGUAGUAUGGGUAAGCCAUGAAACUAACUUGUGAACUAUUGCAUCUCACAUCAAGUGACUGACUGACUUGUUCUUUGCUUUCACAGAAACUUGAAAAAAUGUUAACGGAGGAGUACAACACUUCCCUACCUAUCUCCACACUCUGCAGUUGUUGCGUUCAUACUAAAGCAUGGAAGCGCUUUGGAGGCACCAAGGGAAGAACUUGAAGCGCAGAAGAUCACAAUGAUUCUUGACCAAGUGAGAGAGAGAGAGAGAGAGGAUGAGAACUAUUCUCUCCCUCACUUCACUGAUGAGAGAAAUCCUGAAGCUGUCAUGUUUGUUGCUGCAACUGUAAGUAGAUAAAUCAAUCCAUACAUUUCUGAUGAUGAUGGUGAUUAUCUUAUACGAUUGUGUGUAGGAUGAUGGAUACAUAACAAUGACGAGUUUCGCAGGGCGAUAAUGGACGGUCUCGAUAGAGUAGACUGGAAGGAGUCAUGGUGACUGUCGUCAUACCAUUGUAACACAACUCCAUCUGCCUUUUUCUCACAACCUCUGUCUCCUUAUGCCUUGUUACAAUUUGGUUUAAUCGUGAAGAAAAGUGACUCUUUGUGGGUUUUUUUGCUUCAAGCUAGGUAUGUAUAACAUUUUUGUCCCCACAUUUUGAAUCUUCUUCGAGCAAUUAGAGCUAAUCUGCUCAUUGAGCUAUAAAGCUGUUGAGGGUCCUGCGUUAUCGAAUACUGUUGCAGCUAGUUUUAGGCACGUAAUUUUAAAAAGUUAGGGUUUUUGCAAUUUAUUGACUCUUUGUAAUUCUCACAGGGUCGGCAUGCGUUGGUGUAUGAUAUAAACGCAAUAAAUGAAACGUGGGAAUGGGUUGAUCUCAAGGAGGUAAGCUUUUGACAUGAUGAGGAUCUUUGAUAAGAGCUGACAUUGUUUUUUUGUUUGUAGAUACCACCUGAAGAUAUAAGGUGGGAUGAAAAGAGGAUAGUGGGGGUAGCCUUAAACACUGGACCUGGAAGUGGAUCAAUCCGUGGCAACCGAAGAAACCAAGGCCACAUUGGUAGAGGGAGAGGACCAAGAAUUCAUCAGCCGAGAAGAGAAUUUUUGCCACCACCAACACAACAGAAUGGUGGUGGUGGUGGUGAUGAUAUUGAAUUGUUCAACACAGACUUGCUUGUGAAGGAGGUUAGGUUUCUGUAUGUAUUGUGUCCAUUAAGCUUAGCGGAUGUUCUAAAGAUCAAAGCUUUGUUUUAGGUGGAGAGAGUUUUCGAUGCUACGCAUCCUGAUCCAUUUGAGCUUGAUAAGGCGAAGAAAAUGCUCAAGGUUUGAGACUAAGACCAUGAUUAACCCGGGGUUCUUAGAGUGAGGUUCUUAGCGGAAGUUAAGAAACUAUUUCUUAACUUUUAACUAAAAAAACUAAGAACCGGUUCUUAAAGUCCUUAUUUAAGAACCGGUUCUUAACUUUUUUAGUUAAAAGUUAAGAAACAGUUUCUUAACUUGAGGUAAAAACCUCAUCCUAAGAACUCCGGGUUAAUCAUGCUCUAAUAUUCUUUCUCUCGGCUAUUGCGAGUUGGUUUAAUGUUGUGGUUUUAGGAAAAUAACACAAAAGUUGUGUGAUGGCAGGAACAUGAACAGGGCGCUUAUGGCUGCCCUUGCAAGGCUUGCUGAUACUUCUGAUGGUGAAAUUGGUAAUAAUAUAAAAAGGCAAGGUUUCAUUUUGUUUGCAAUCUCAGAAUAGUCUUGUAUUUUAUCGUUCAGUUGUCUGCUAUGAUGAUAAUUUUUUAAGGAUAAAAUAGCAAACCGAAUCCCACCAAUAAAAGCUUUAUCACCUACUUUGCUCAAACUCGAUAGUAUCUAACCUGCAAAUACAUGAAUUGCUUUAAAAAAAUGGGUCUUGUUCUGGAACUUUGGACUGUGUGCUUCUCUAUUGCAGAAACAUGAUAUGAUUUUUAAUGGGUUUCCUGCCACCAGAUGGAGAUCCACCAUAUUCGCAUGACCAUCCAAUGCAUCAGGGAUGAAAGAAAAGCUGUCUUUUAACUGAACCCACCAAGGACACAAGAUGGAAAUGAGCUAAAUGUAUGUUAUGUUAAGUUAGGAUCGGGACGUAGUAAGAUUCUCUGUAAAGCAACAAUAUUUUUUUGGUUUUUAGAGAAUUUAACCUGUGACUAAUGAUUGAGCCAUGUAAAAUGUUUGUUCCGGAGUCCACCUCCAUCAGACCUGCCAUCAAAACGCAUACAGUUUAUGUGUUCUGUUAUAUGGUUCUUCAAACAUCCAUGCAUUAUACAAUACAAAAUCAAAACUGCCAUGCUAUGUGUGACUUACAGAAAACACUUGCUGCCCCCUUUGUUUUUUUGCAUUCAUCUUCGAUCAAAGUUGUUGCUUGCUGAAGCAUGGACACCAGUUUGCGGCGGCGAUUACGUUCUAAUCCCUAGGAUAUUUGAAUUAGGAUAAAUCAGGUUCCGGACAUACAAACAUAUUAAAAAACAGCGAUGGAAACGUAAUAUAGCUCAUGAAGGUUAAUGAUUAUAAUAUUUUUAAAAGAAGAAGAUUAACCUCCGGAAGGAGAGAAACACGCCGUAGAGAUUUGGCGGGAUCGAGUUUCACUAAGGUUUAGAGAAAUCACACGAUCGAGAGAAGAAGAUGAUGCGAUUGCUUUUCGUCCAAGUCAUGAAGGAGAGAGGAUGGUUAGACGUCGUCGACGAUAAUAGAACCAAAGAAGCAAUGUUGACCUCUUUCUUCUUCUUCUCUCAACGAAAGAAGCAAUUUUUAAUAAGGCUUUAGUGAUUUAUUCAAAACGAAGAUAUGUAAAUUAUAUAUGUUUUGUACAUAGAUAUAUCAGCCAAACUAAGCAACGUAUAACUCAAUAUCAUAGUUCAAACUACGACCAUAUAAUAUAAAAAAGUAGCAAAAGGUUUAAAAUUAAUAAUGAUAAUCAAGAAAAAACAAGUGCUAUAAAAAUAUAAUAUUAGGCUCCACUUGGUAAAUCAUCAAAAUGGAAAACCUUUUCAAAUGUGGGUUUUAUGAACCCACUCUAGUAAUACCAUGGACAUUUCAACACUACUUAAAAUUACUAAAUUAAGAUCUGAAAAUAUUAUAUGUAUUAUAAAAGAGAUGCUCUCUAAGCUUCUUAUUACUCAUGACCAGAGGUCUAUAUUUAUACAAGUAUUAUACCGUCUUAUUUAAACCGUCAUAAGAGAAAAUGAAAUCAUAUUCUUAAUAGUACUUAUCCUAAAUACAUAUGGAAAAGGAUAAACAUCAAGUAUAGAUAUAUGUAAACUCUCAUUCGUCUAAGUCAUUAGCGAAUGGGCCGGAUGGAUAGCUGAUGAGCCGGACGGUUUGAACCUAAUAUGAGUCGAUCACCACUUGGUUUAUAACAAUAUGACGGUUCUAUAACCAACAUACUUUAGUUGGUUUAUUAGGAUUAAUGCAUGAUAGUUUUACUUUCACUAUAGUGUGAACCAUACUUUUGACUGAAUUAGAAAUCAUAAAGUCUUACAAAUCCAAAUAGUAUAAAUAAAUAAUAACUAACUUCUAAUCAAAUCAUAUCAGGACUAAAAUGACUUUUUGUGUUAGGAAUCCAUAAUCCCAAAUAUUGGAAACCUAUGGACAAUUUUCACUAUGAAUUCAUACAAAGAAUAUGCCUUUAUUUAUCAGUAUCAAAGUAAAACCACAAAACUACAGAGAGUCUACUAAUAAUAAAUCUCACAAUUUGUGGUUUUUUUCUUUUAAUUAUUUUCACAUUUUUUUUUAAUUUUUAAUAAUAUGAAGUCAUUAGGCCAUCGGUAUCGGGAGCCCUUAGGCCCGUCCCGUAGAUAUAAAUGGGUCGAGAAUAAAUGAAAAGGAAAUUAAAAGAGAGUGGGACGGGCUUUUAGUAAGGGCUAUUCGGGCUCGUCCCGUAGGCGACAUGGCAGCACGGGAGUGGGCAAUGGAAUCAGUGACUUGUUCGGCUGUUGUUCUCCUCGAGAAUUCUGAAAUCGAAAUCAAAAACAAAAAUCAAAAGCUCGAUGGCGAUGGCGAUGGCAAAGCCUUGAUCUCCAAAUCCAUCUCUUCAAAUCGAAAGCCAACCCUGCGUCUUCUCUCUUUCACUGGAGUGGGAGAUCUCUUUAUCUCCGUUGGCGAGGUCGCAGCUUCUGUCGUCGUUUGAUCCCCAGAUCCUCCUCCAAAGCUCAAUCCACAUCGGCUCGCUUCCGUUCCAAUACGACGAGAACCAAUCCUCCCCAAAACUUUUGAGAAUCGUCCCAAUCUUAACAAGGUUUGUUUUUCAAGUCCGAUCUGAUUUCAAAUUUUUUUUUAGGGUUUUGUCAAAAUUCGGUGAAUAAAAUGGUAUUUAUCCGAUGUUGUUUAAUAGAUUUGAUGGCAAAAAGAUAUAGAUUCAUUGGUUUGAGAACAAUUGUGUAGAUUCUAGGGUUCGGCAAUUUAUGAUAGUUCGUAUAGAUUUCAAAAGCUUUCUAUGGUUCGAUUGUAUGAUUGUUUCGUUGUAGCUUGUGUGAUUGUUUCGUUUUGAUUGUAUGAUUGUUUAGUUGGUAAAAAACAUCCUUGUUCGAUUCAAAUUUCUAUGUUCGAUUGUUUAGUAUAGAUUUGAACAACUGUAUGAUAGUUCGUAUAGAUUUAUAUGGUUCGAGAUCAAUUCUUUAACUGGUUUAGAGUUUGAUAUGUGUGCAAAUUCAAAUCUGUGAAAAUAAGCUCAUGUCAUUUGUAUAGAUUUGAUUCGUAUAGACUAAUAGUUUAGAGUUUGAUUAGUAUAGAUUUAAAUAUCUCAUGUCAUUUGUCUUGAUUAGCUUUCUUCAUGAGACUUUGCAUUUUCAAUAGUUCGUAGUUUAUAGAUUAAUGUUUUUUUUAAUCUUGCAUAUAGUAAUGCAUUCAACUGAUUGUUUCUCUGUCUUGUGUUAGACAUUUUGUGGUUAGAAAUAUUAAAUGUUAGAUAUAUAUUUAAGCCACUGAUGUUUUAAAAGAAAGUUGAUAGCUUUUUAGUUGUGUAAUAAGUUGGGAUUAGACAUUUCUUAUUCGGAGUUUGCCAUUAAGGCAGUGAUGUACUUUGUAUUCUUCACUUCCUCCUAUUUAAAUCUCUUAUCUUUUCUCUCUUCUGUCAUCUCAUUAGUCUUUCUCCAAGAAAUCUCUUAUAUUUUCUUACUGUUAUGGAUCCAAGCAAUCUUCGUAGCCAGUCCUCUAGAUACGUAGGACUGCUUCACAGUCAACAAGGUAGCGUUUUCCACGAAAACUUUCCUUAUGAAAGUUUUCAUUCUAGUGUUAACUUUGGAGAAUCAUAGACUUUUCCGGCUUUCAGUUCACAACAAUCUCAAGACGCACCAGUAGAGACACCAGUACAGACACCAGCAGCCCAUGUUGUAAGACACAAAUGGAAUCCAGCAGAUGACGAGGUGCUGAUCAGUGUGUGGCUUAACACUUCCAAGGAUGAUAUUGUUGCAAAUGAGCAGAGGUCGGGGGCCUUCUGGAAAUGGGUUGCUGCUUAUUAUGCAUCAAUUCCUCAUGGAAGAGAGGAUGGUGUGAGAGAGCACGGUUGUUGCAAGAAGAGGUGGCACAGAAUCAAUGAAGAUGUUAACAAGUUCUGUGCCGUAUACUCGGCAGCAGAACGACAAAUGAGCAGUGGUGAGACUGACACUGACGUUCUGAAGAAGGCGCAUGACAUUUUCUUCUCUGAUCAAGAGCACAAGUUCACACUUGAACAUGCUUGGUGUGUGUUGAGGUAUGAACAGAAGUGGCUCAGCCUUAACACACCCACGGCUGGUGGCGUUUCGAAGAGGAAGAAUGUGCAGAUAAAUUCCCAAACUUCUACCAACGAAGGCUUCGUUGAUGUUGAGAGCAGGCCCAGAGGUGUCAAGGCUGCUAAGGCUAAAAGAAAUGCGGGUAAAGGGAAGUCCGUGGCUGAGAUUGCGACCGUUUGGGAAAUGAAGAAGGACGAUUUGGUGAGGAAGGAGAGACUGUCGAGGCUAGCAAUACUAGACACUCUCCUUGCCAAGACUCAACCAUUGAGUGAGGCGGAAGAAGCUGUGAAGAAUAAGCUCCUAGCCGAGUUAUUCUGAAAAAAAUUAAGAAGACGAUGUCUCUUUAUGUCUUUAAUUUUCUGUAUGCUCUAUGUUCUUGUUUGGUGUUUGCUCUAUGUAGUUCCGGUUUCCUUAAAUGGGUUUUUAUAAAUGAAUCAUUUUCUUUUAAUGUGUUUGCUCUAUGUUUGUGUAUAGCUCUUUGUUUCUAACUGUAUAGAGCUCUUUGUAAAUAAAUGUGUAUAGCUCUAUGUUUGUAACUGUAUAGCUUUAUGUGUAUCUAAUUUAAAUUUCGACAAUGUAUGCAUGUUAAGUAAAAAUGGGACGUUACAGCUAUACGCAGCCAUCAGAUGACGAGGAUUUAUUUGGAAACAAUGACGACAGUGACUACAGCGAGACGGAUGAUCUCAUACGACGUGACCAAGCUGAGCUAAGCUUGGAACGUAGUUCACAGGUUCACUACCCUCCGCAACCGGAGGUUGAGUUUGGUUUCCCGCAGGUUUGCUAUUUUGGUGCUAAGCCACUGCUUGCAACGUCUAAUACUAGGCAAGAUCAAGGUAUGUGCUAGUUAGUUACUGACUUGCUUAUGUGCUGGUUUGUGUAUGUGCUUAGCUAGUUUUGCGUAUGUGAAACAGGGAGAAGAUAUUACACUUGUGCGAAGAAAGACGACGGCGAAUGCCAUGUCUACAAAUGGUGGGAUGAGGCGCUGAUGGAGGGGAUGAGAGCCAGAGAUAUACAUGUGCUUCAGCUGGGUGAAAAGGUAGAAAGCCUAACCCUUUUGACUGACUAUGACACAGAGCAGAAGAUACGAAACCUAGAGAAGAUUGUGGGUGAUAUGGCUAAGGAGAAAUCUUCUUUUAGUUAUGGGUUUGAGUGCUUUGUAAUAGGCGUAGUUGUUCUUGUUGUUGUAAUAGGCUUGGUGGUUAUGUUUGGAUAAUUUUAACUAUGUAAUCAAUGUAUUUUCUCGGAUGUAACCGAUAUGGUUUUGUACUCUUUUAUUUGUGCUCGUGACCAAAUAGAAUGGCUGACCAUAAGUCACAUGAUCACAAGUUUCUUAUUUGUAACAUAUAGCUCGUGACCAAGCUGACCAUAAGUGACAUAUAGUUUCUUUUACAAGAUGUAACCAUAAUAAGUUAGAUUGUUUAUAUACAUGUUUAUUUCAUUUAUAACCAUAAGUCACAAGUUGAGUUUCUUUGUACUAAUAAAUCACAUGAUCCAAAGCCACAUGUUUAUUUUGCUUUCUACCAAUAAGUCACAAGAUGUACUAAAGAGUUUAUACCAAUAUUCAUUCACGGGAGGAUUCAUAGAGACUUCUUCUUUAUCAUAUAAGUAUUGAGACCUUCUCUCAUUACAAAUGUGCAAAGUCUCAUCUUCUCUUAAAGUUCUAAACAUUUUUUUUCUCUUGUAAAAAUUGUCAAUGGCUUCUUCUUCCCAUUAUCAUUACCACAAAGAUGAUGAUGAUGAAUUAGAUGACGUAUUUGAAGAUUUAUUUGAAAAAAUUGAUUUCAAUCCAAAACCAAAAGAGCGAAAAACACGAGUUUUUAUCGAGAGACAUCGGGAGGAAGGCCAUCAGAAGCUCUGGAAUGAUUAUUUUAGCGAAACUCCAACAUACCCGCACAAUGUAUUCCGGCGACGGUUUCGAAUGAGCAAGGCAUUAUUCUUGCGUAUUGUGCAUCGUCUCUCUACAUAAGUUGAGUAUUUUCAACCCAGAGUAGAUGCAACCGGACGGUCGAGUCUAACUCCGCUCCAAAAAUGUACCGCAACAAUUCGUCAAUUGGCGUAUGGUGGUGGGUCUGACACAGUUGACGAAUAUGUCCGAAUUGGUGAAACAACAGCUCGAAGAAGUUUGCACAAUUUUUCCGCGGGAAUAAUCCACUUGUUUGGCGAUGAAUACCUAAGACGUCCCAUACCGGAGGAUCUGCAAAGACUACUAUAUAUUGGAGAACAACGUGGGUUUCCAGGGAUGAUUGGAAGCAUCGACUGUAUGCAUUGGGAGUGGAAGAAUUGCCCCACGGCUUGGAAAGGAAUGUAUUAACGAGGAAUCAGAAAACCAACGAUUGUCUUGGAGGCGGUAGCUUCAUAUGACCUCUGGAUAUGACACGCGUUUUUUGGAGCUCCAGGUACUAUGAAUGAUCUUAAUAUUCUCGAUCGAUCAUCCGUUUUUGAUGACAUUAUUAACGGAAUAGCGCCACAAGUUAACUUCUAUGUUAAUAGUAAUCCAUACCAUUUGGCAUAUUAUCUCACGGAUGGUAUUUAUCCGAAAUGAGCUAAUUUUAUUUAAUCUAUCCGACUACCACAAGGUCAGAAGCAUUCAUUAUUUGCUCAAACCCAAGAAGUUGUGCGAAAAGAUAUCGAGCGUGCCUUCGGAGUCCUACAAGCUAGGUUUCCCGUUGUUAGAAAUCCAUCUAAUAUAUGGGAUAAAGAAAAAAUAGGAAAUAUUAUGAGAGCAUGUAUCAUACUCCAUAAUAUGAUUGUCAAAAAUGAACGAUCACCAGGAACUGAGGACAACGUUCAUGAAUUUGAAGAAAGAGAAGAUGUGGCUACAUUUUCCUUCAAUAUGCCUUCACCUAUCGUGAGUACAAUUGAUCGUCGAACGAGCGUUCAGAAUAGACAAGUCCAUCAACAUUUAAAAAAUGAUUUAAUUGAAAAUAUAUGAGAUAAAUUUAGACAUCUUACACAUAACAAAUAAUUUAUAAGUUUUUAUUUGUAUUGAAAUAAAUGUUUGUGUGUUUUUUUUUAUUAUGAUGUUUGGUAUUUUUUUCUUUUCAACUUUGUAAUUUUCUUAAGAUUUUAAUUUUAAUGUUAAACUUGUUUUUUAUAUGUUUUAUUUAAAAUUUCUUUUAUAUGUUAUUCAUUAUUAAAAUAAUAAAUUAAUUAAAUAAUAAUCUAAGGGACCAGCAAAAUCCCACUAAUAAUCUACCAAAUUUUUUAAUGUCUUUAUCUUAGGUCCCUUAACAUAUGAUCUUAGUAAAAAAAAUGCUAAGGCCUGUAAGUUGAGUCCCACCGAUAAGGAUGCCCUUACGUCUCCAAAAAAACAGGGGAAGAAGGUCGCAUCUUGACUUUCUUCCAAUCGUUUGAGCAAGCAGAGCUUUUGAGACUUGGGUGCUAAAAUGGCAGCUCUUUCAACGGUUCUGUCUCUUGGUUUCGGGUCACUUCGCCGCCCUUGGCGCCUUUCCUUCUUCUCCUCUUUCAAUUCGCUCCGGCAACAACAGACCUCACUUCUCCGAUGCCAAAGUCUCGUCCUUUCGAGGUCUCCGCUUAACAGGGCUCUUCAAGCUUCCCUUCAAUCCAGUACGUUAUCUAAUCAAUUUUUGACUCGAUCCCCUUUCAUGGGUUCGCGUUAGAUUAAUUGAAUUCAGUCAAUCAUUCAUAUAUGAAAAACUCAAAACUUUAUAUUCAGACAUCUCUUGUGUUAAAAAUGGUGUCUUUAUAAAGCAUUCAUUUUUAAUUAUAUAGAUUGUGUUUCAACGGUGCCACUUCACAUUGUCUUGGUUGUGUCUAUUAGAUUAUGCUCCGGUUACAUCACCGGGAGACCAUUCUGAGAUUGUGUUUAUGGGUACUGGAACAAGUGAAGGGAUCCCUCACUAAUCCUCUCAAAACAUGUUCGGUAUUUUAUUUUUCUUCAUUGCUGACUUGUUCAUCUUUGAUUUCAAUGGGAUCUCAUUUGAAAAGGAAAUAAUCCAUUUUUGAUUCUGGUAGGUAUGCACCAAAAGCAACAGAACCUGGAAACAAGAACAGGAGACCUUAACACCAGCAUUCUUGUUCGGUACACUAGACCAUCCGGAACAAAGUAACAUCCUUAUUGGUUGUGGCAAGUAAGUGCAGUGACCUCACUGUUGUGUUUUGUGAGUGUUGAUUCCAUUUCUAGCUUGUGGAAAAUGCUUUCAUUACAAAAGAGAGGUUGAAUCCAUCCUUUUUUAAUAUUCCCUAAGUUUCCAAAUGUAUGAUGUUUAAGAGAAUUUUUGAUGUUUUAAAGAUGUUUUCAUAUUUCUAUGUAAUUUUUAACUUUAUUAAAAACUGCUAACCUAAGAUAUUGUGUAGUCUGUUUUAUAAUUGGUUAAAUAAUGUUAAAACUUAUAUUUUCUGAUACUUUUUUAGUUAAAAGUAAUUUUCUUAAUUGCAUCAUACACUUGGGAACAAGAGGAAUAUAAGAUAUUUGGUGAGAUUGAUCUUAGAGCAUAUGAUUUUUCAUUUUUUUUUUCUUGUGUGCUGACUUUCUCCUUCCAGCAUAGUGCACUUAAGUGGUUUCCCACCUUCGGGUUAGCUUUUUGCUUUUUUCCAUCAACCAGCAUUUACUUGUCAUCUGAUACUGCUUACACGAACUUAUUAUUGUUUGUUAUACUUUGGACAAAUAUUCUUAGUUGAGCGCCGUUACUUUCUGAUAGUUUUUAUAUCGUUGUUUCUCUAUGGCCAGUCUAAGAACACUUGAUGCGGUUGUAAUCACUCAUUCUCAUGCUGAUGCAAUUGGAGGUCUCUGAAACUUGACAAGUUAAAACCUUGCCACCAUCCAUCUUUUUCCUUUAUCCUGUAAAAGCUGUGUUCUUGAAAGCCUUCUGCUUCAUUGUUUAUGUUUUCUUCUCUGCAGGUCCUGAUGAUCUCCGUGAUUGGACAAACAAUGUGCAGCCUCACAUUCCAAUUUACACUGCUACGCGUGAUUUUGAGGUUAAUUAACUUGUUUUACAAACACACGUUACCCUUAUUAACUCUCUCACGUAGUUAAGACUCUCUACCAUGACAUGUGGAUCUCAGGUGAUGAAAAAAACCCAUUACUACCUGGUUGAUACGAGUGUGCAUAGCACUCAACAUAUGUUACUCAUUGCUUCGAUUCUUUUUUUUUUUUUUUUUUUUUUUUUGUGUUAUAACUCGAAGAUUUUCAGCAAGCAAAAGUGCAAAACCCACUAGUUAUUAGAGUAUCAAAUAUAUUUUUAUCGUAGUUAGUUAAUACUUCUAUAAUAAUAACUAAACAUAAUUGAAAUGGUAGAGAAUCCCAAAAAUUUAUCUUGACCCAUAUAGUGAAAUCAAUUCUAGUUGUUCAAAUGUAAUUCCACUUCUUCUCUUCACUCCAGGAUGUUUUGUAUCAUCUUUUGCAUCCUUGAUUCUUGAUUUCACAAUGCGGGUCAUUAGUCAACAAAUGUAUGUUCUUUUUGUUGUUAUAAUAUGUUUUCACAUAAUUUAGAUUUUUAACAAAAACAAUAAAAAAAAGCCCAAAACGCCCAAUAAACAAAAAGCCCACAGAUUUAACAGAAACAAUAAAAAAACAAAUUAAUGGACUUGUUUAGCAAGCUCACUCUCGACUUGUUCAGCAAGCUCACUCCCGACUUCUCUUCUCCAGCAGCUUCUCUUCUCCAGCGUGAGGAAACAUGGGUCUAGCUUCACGAGUUCUACUCAAGAUCAAGAGACGUCGUAAGAGACCCACCACGCCCCAAAGUUUCUCGCAACUUGGGUUUAGGGUCGUUGAAAUGAAGUCAGAUGGGCACUGCCUCUUCAGGGCUAUGUCGCACCAGAUGUACAGGCAUCAGCGUGGGCACCUAUCCUACCGAAAGGAGAUUGUGCACCAUAUUGAGGUAGAUCUUGGAAAUUUCUAUAUAAAAUUCUAUAAACAUGAUAAUCAUUCAUGUUAUAUUGUCAUAUAUGCACACAUAAACAUCAGGAGUUCUUCGAGCCCUUUGUCAUUACCCGCAAUGCUCUUGACCAGAUCACCGAAACCUUUGAGCAGUGCUGUAAAAGGAUGAAGAAAGAACCCAUCUAUUGGGGAGGAGAGCCGGAGCUGGUAGCAGCAUCUCGUAUCUUGCACCGCAUCAUUCGAGUCUAUAAUGUAUGUGUCACUUCUCAUAAGAUUCUAUAAUGUAUGUCUAUAAUGAUUGCAACAUCUCGUGUCUUGCACCGCACCAUAAGAAUCUAUAAUGAUAGUAGCAUCUCGUGUCUUGCACCGCACCAUAAAUAAUGUAUGUCACUUCUCAUUAUAGACUUUUUUGUUAUGCUAUCAUUAUAGACUCUGACUCUUUAUAAUAAUAACUAAACAUAAUUGAAAUGGUAGAGUAAGAGUUUAUAAUGAUAGCAUAACAAAAGAAUCUAUAAUGAUAAGUGACAUACAUUAUGGUGCGGUGCAAGACACGAGAUACUGCUAUCAUUAUAGACUCUUAUGGUGCGGUACAAGACACGAGAUGUUGCUAUCAUUAUAGACAUACAUUAUAGAAUCUUAUGAGAAGUGACACAUACAUUAUAUACUCGAAUGGUGCGGUGCAAGAUACGAGAUGCUGCUACCAACUCCGGCUCUCCUCCCCAAGAGGUGGGUUCUUUCUUCAUCCUUUUACAGUACUGCUCAAAGGUUUCGGUGAUCUGGUCAAGAGCAUUGCGGGUAAUGACAAAGGGCUCGAAGAACUCCUGAUGUUUCUGUAUGCAUAUAUGACAAUAUAACAUGAAUGAUUAUCCAGUUGAUAAAAUUUUAUAUAGAAAUUUCCAAGAUCUACCUCAAUGUGGUGCACAAUCUCCUUUUGAUAGGAUAGGUGCCCACGCUGAUGCUUGUACAUCUGGUGCGACAGGGCUCUGAAGAGGCAGUGCCCAUCUGACUUCAUUUCAACGACCUUGAACCCAAGUUGCGAAAAACUUCGGGGUCUGGUGGGUCUCUUACGACGUCUCUUGAUCUUGAGUAGAACUCGUGAAUCUAGACCCAUGUUUCCUCACGCUGGAGAAGUCGGGAGUGAGCUUGCUGAACAAGUCGGGAGUGAGCUUGCUGAACAAGUCCAUUAAUUUGUUUUUUUAUUGUUUUUGUUAAAUCUGUGGAUUUUUUGUUUAUUGGGCGUUUUGGGCUCUUUUUUAUUGUUUUUUUUUAAAUCUAAAUUAUGUGAAAACAUAUUAUAAUAACAAAAAGAACAUACAUUUGUUGACUAAUGGUCCGUAUUGUGAAAUCAAGGAUGCAAAAGAUGAUACAAAACAUCGUCGAGUGAAGAUAAGAAGUGGAAUUACAUUUUAACAACUAGAAUUGAUUUCACUUUAUGGAUCAAGAUAAAUUUUUGGGAUUCUCAACCAUUUCAAUUUUUUUAGUUAUUAUUAUAGACGUAUUAACUAUAAUAUAUUUGAUACUCUAAUAACCAGUGGGUUUUGCACUUUUGCUUGCUGAAAAUCUUCCAAUUAUAACACACAAAAAAAUAGAAUCGAAGCAAUGAGUAACAUUUGUUGAGUGCUAUGCACAUUUCGUGGAUUUUCCACGACAAAAUGAGAUAGCAAGCAUGCUAUGCACAUUUCACAGUUUAUAAUCAUUUACUUUAUAUAUUAACCGUUGACAACAAAUGUUAAAUGGUGACGAAAUACGUUUGCUACGACUGUCUAGUCUGUACUACUACAACCACAGUGAACGCAUUAGGUUCGUAAGCUUGUUAGUGUCCACCCUCAGUCACAUCCCACUUUUGGUAGCCUUUAAACUCAAAAGCGAGAUCUUUAACAUAUGCGAAGAUAACUUGAACAUUAUUAGUCCAUUGAUAUAUCCAAUGGCAGAUAGCUCUUUUGUAAAAAAAUGGAAUGUCCAAGUUGUUAGUUUUGACUUUUGAUUGGUUAAUGUCAUUUUGAUUUUCAAAAAUUUAUAAGUGGACAGGCAUAUUCUUGAGAAUAUACCAGUUUCAUUCCCUUCCACCUUUCUUGCCUCUCCUACCUGCUUCAAUCAUUUCGAUCUUAAUUUUACUUGGUCACUAGUUUUGACCUGGUUAGUUUCUCUCAUUUGACGGCCAGUGCAAGCAAGAUCCCAUCAAAAGAAAACAUACAUUAGCAUCAUUCUUGUAAACCCUAUAGUACUUGAAUAUUAGGGGUUCGGGUUUCUAAUAAAAUGGCUUAUUUAGCAAACUUGCAUUAAUAUGAAGAAGAAGGAGCCAGGAAAAGUCUAACAUAAUGGGACAACAAGCAUCCAAACAACUAACCUCUUUUUGGGAGCUGAUGUGUGAUGCGCCGCGUGAUAUAUGCAACAAGUAGAAGUGAAAAAAAGAAGUGUACAAGAAGUAAUUCAAGUAUGUAUUAUAUCAUGGUCUAAUCAUGAUAUAUUCUUUCUGACACAUGUAAUUAUCAGUUGUUAUUUAAAAAUUAUGAUUAUUUCAAAUUAUUCAUAUGGGUUACAUAAUCCCGACGCUAGGUAUUCCUCAGAUUCAACAUAAACUAAUUCAAAAAAGUUGAAGUUUAAUCCCACCUGUUUGUCAAAUUUUCAACCACCAGUUCGAGCACUACGGUCUAAUGAUAAAUUCUAUGUAUAUUUAUCAAAAACUUUUUACGGACGUCAAUUAAAAUAAAUCAAUCAUAAUGAUAAAAUGAAUGACCAUAUAACAAUAUUACUUUAAUUUGAGUUUCAUUAAUUUGCUAGUACCUGAUAAUAAAUCUUCUAAGUUUUAUACCAGGUUAAAGAAAUAUGAGGUUUAUAUCCUUCAACCAAGUGUAUAUGUUUGUUUAUAAAACUUGGUAGGAAUGAAUCAUGAAGUUUAUUUUCAGUUCCACAGCCCAUUUCAAAAUGUUUUCAAGCUUCUAAUGGUAUUUUUGUCUCAUUUUCCGCCAAUCUAAAAAAUGAAAAGUUGGUCCUUCUACCAAAUAUGCUGUCCAAAAAAACUUGGUAGGAAUCAUGAAGGUUUAUUCUCACUUAAACAUUCCUUCUCAUUUUUCUUAAAAAAAUGCUUCUAGUGACAGUUUGUCUCACUUUCUCUAAAUUUCGUUUGGUCUUAAACUCGAUUACCUAUGAUUAAUUUAGGGUAAUAUGCCGAUUAUAAUUCCAUUUAAAUAAAGAAAAGCACAUGAUAAAAAAUAUAGCUACAAAGAGUAGGAAAAUGUUAUAGAAUUGAUUAACUAACUAAUGAUGGUAUAAACACGAAAACGAUCUAAGCGGCAGAAAGUGCACACUUCUCUCGGGUUCUUUUGUUUAACUUGCAAUAGUUAUAAUUAUUUAAUUACUGUGGAAUAUACUUUUAAGUCAGGAUCUUAUAUCCAGCAGCAAUACUUAAAUCCUAAGAUAUUAUAUGUUUAAAGCAGGAAAGAUAGUGAAAUAGCAGAAGAAAAAAUGUUCUCAAGAAUCUGGAAGCUCGACCUCGUCUCUUUUUUUCUUUAGAAAUUAAAACAACCUUCAUUGAAUUUUAAACUUUUAAACAUUUGAAUAGAGGGAGAGUUAUUCAGAACUCUACGAGCAUUAAACAUUGAAACAUAAAAAAUAAGAAUACAGAAAAUUCUAAAAUAAGGUGACAGCAAAUUCAGAGCAAGACUUGAAUGCAUCGAAACAAGGUUUAUGGCAAAACCACGGACUUGAGAAAUAGUCAUUUUGGGUUGUGAUGUUCAUACUAAAUCGGCACCUCAAAAAAUCGUCAAGACGAGAUCCAUUGCAUAUUGAAAUUCUUUCUUUGACUGUUAUGAAGCUGUUGCUUAGAUAUGUUUAUAAUCAAAAGAUUGAGAAUGGUAAUUUUACCAUAGGUUAUACUAUUCAAUUAGAAAAUUCAAAAACCAAAGAAUAUAUUCUAAGUCAAGCUUCUAAUUUAAGAAAUGCUAAUGGUGAAUUUCAACCAAGUUUAGGUUUAUACACAACAUUGGUGAAUUUGAUGCUGAUUCAAGCUGAAAAAUAUGAAGAUUUAGAUAUCUAUGUCGAGAGCUGUUUAUAAUAGAUUGCCCAGUAACAUAUACAAACUCAGAAGGGGAUGUUGAGUUAUAAUCAUUGUCUUUGCCAGCUAUGUGGGAACACUUGAAUCACUCAAUCAUCUACUAUUCCAAUGGAUAGUUGCAAAAGAAGUAUGUACACUGGCACCACUCGGAAACCAACCAAGUUGGCUGGCUGAUUACUCUCAACCUUUGCAGCAAUAUUUGAGCUGGUUGCUAUCAGUAACUUCCUCCUCACCAUUAAUUGAUGACUUGGCCCUUCUUUACUGAAUGGCAAAUUUGGAAAAUAAGGAGCUUAAUCCUCCCAAAUCAUUGAGAAUUCAUCUCGCAAGUGAUUGAUAUUAUCAAUCAAAAACUUGGGAUUGAUAUAAAGCCAAAACAUGGGAGGAGUGACAUCAAAUUCAAGAUACAAAUAUAAACGGUAAUGCAAACAACUACGACUGUAUAUAUUGUAGAUGCAUCGUGGUCUUCAUCAAAAAGACUGAGCAGGCAUAGGAUGUGCACUAUAUCGGAAAGACUACAAGUCAUUAAAGCAAGUACAUAUAUUGAUCCGAUUGUUGGAAGCCCUACUUAUCAUAACCGUCAAAGAAGUACAUAAAUUGUUUUUUUGAUGAAGUUAUGUUCGUUGGUGAUUUGGUCCUCUUCAAUUAGCUUAAUAAUGCCUUUCUAGAAGUAAAAAAAUGGGAUUUGGUUGGACCACUCGGCUACUACAAUCACCAUUUCCAGGACACAAUUUAAGGCAGUAUAUCCCUCUAAGCCUUCUUGUUUUUAGAUAAACAGGUUUUGCGAAUUAUUGUUUCUGAAGUUACUUUCUUACUACAAUGGCAAAAAGUAUAUUGUAUCUUAGAAUACUUUGUAUCUUAGAAGUUAGAACUGAUCCUGAGUGUAAAUUGUUUCAUAAUACAAUAUGCAGCUAGCCGACAAAGAAAAAAGUAGUAUGCAACGAUGAAACAAAGAAAAAGCAAUCAUCCACUCGAACUGUAUUACUAAAUCUAGCCUAAUAACACAACAAGUUAAUCAGAGUUAAACACAUGAACAAUGAUUCAUACCAUAUACUAACAAAAAAAAUCAGAAUUUUUUUCAAAGCUACCAACUUUUUUUGUUUUUGUUUUUAAAACACAAAAUACAUAGAACAUUUACAUCUUGGAUUUAGAAAAUGAUAUGAAUACAGUGAACAAUCGGUAUGCAGAAUUCGAGAAGUUGGAACACACAAGUGUUAGGUGUCUCUGUUGAUAGUGUGGUAAGUAAAACUCUACAAGUUUACAACUAUUCUUAUCUUGUUUGCAAAAUUGCUUUGACUCAUCCCUACUUGUUGUGUUGAUGUCCGUCCACAUAGUUCUCCCACCUUGCGUGGGUUCAAACAGACAGAAAAUCUGGAGGACUUGGUGAUCUCAACUACCCCCUUGUAUCAGAUGUCACUAAAUCAAUCUCAAAAUCUUUUGGAGUGCUCAUCCCUGACCAGGUAAAAACUUUUAUUGUUUUAACUUCCCUAAAUCUGUUUGGGAAUCAACAAAGAUACAUACCUUUUGUGUGUAAGAAAAAGAGGGAAUAGCGUUGAGAGGGCUUUUCAUAAUAGACAAGGAAGGAGUGAUCCAACAUUCAACCAUCAACAAUCUUGGUAUUGGCCGAAGUGUUGAUGAGACAAUGAGAACCCUUCAGGUAUAAUAAAUACUCUCAAGUUCAAAACCUGUUCUUUUUUUAUAUUUGAUUACUGUUUGUGUGAUGCAUAUUAUAUUCUCGAUGUUGCAGGCAUUACAGUACAUCCAGGAGAACCCUGAUGAAGUCUGCCCUGCAGGAUGGAAACCAGGGGAGAAGUCAAUGAAACCUGACCCCAAGCUCAGCAAAGAGUAUUUCUCAGCUAUUUAGAAAUAUCUACAAACCCUUUGUUAUAUGUGAGCUGAGUGUCCUUUUUUUCUAAAGUGCUUUGAACAUUUCCAUUAAUAAAGUCUUGUUAUCUCCAUCUUCCCGCUUGGAGUAGGAUUCAAUGUGGUUUCUUUCUCUUCUUAACAUGUUUUUACCAAUCAAAAAUGUUUAAAAUUUAUAAAUCAAUUUUUCAUGUCAAACCGAUGACGUGUUGGUCUCUUAAACACACAAAAAUUAUCAAAUAUAUAAUUAAUAAGAUAUUUAAAAUACAUAAAAUUUUAAAAGUUGGAAAUAAUCUAAAAUUUCAAAAAAAAAAUUAAUAUUAUAAACUUAAAAAUAAAUAAAUUCAAAAGUAAUAAAAUAUUUAAAAUAAAUUAAAAUGAGAAAAUAUUGCAAAAUUCAAAAACUUAUUUGAAAAAAAAAACACCAUAUUUUUCUUCACUCAUUCUUUUUCUUUUUGGUGCUUUAUUUUAGAUUGUAGGUAAAUCUCCACUUGUUUUUUUUUAAGGGUAUAUCUCCACUUGGAUGAUAACAUUAUCAUCAUCAUCAUUAUAGAAUUACUAACAGGAAUUGCUGGCGCCAUGGCAACUGGCAAAAAAAAAAUGGAUCUCGGUUGGAUAUAAAUAUUCGAGUAAUAAUCAAAGGUAUGACCUUUGUAGCAUAAACAAAAUAAAUAUGAAAGGUAUUUGGUACGAGGGGAGAUAAUAAAACGUGUGUUGGAGAAUGGAGAUGAAUUGGCUUAUGUCUGUCUUGUGAGAUAUUAAUAUUAAGAUUAGAGUCUAAUAAGCUCGUGUUAUACUAAUUCAUGGACUAUUGGAGAAAAAUCACGAUCAAAAACAAUAAACCAAUUCCAAAAAAAGUCUUACAAAGGUUUUUGAUAAUAACUAGUUUCGUUUGUAAGGAUAUGGUUGUUCGUACAUGGCGAUUAAGAGUUAUCUGAGAACAGCUUGUUCCAUAAUAGCAAUUCGACCGGCAAAAGAGAUGAAACUGAGCUCUAUCCACCUUAGUUCUCUGCUUGCAAAGAAGCUGCAAGAAAAAAUACACUGAAAUUGCGAUCCAAUGGAAAAAUAACCAUAGCUUUUUGUUACUAUAUUAUCAGUUAGAUCUAGGUACCUUUAACGGAUGCUGGGUCGUCUUGUGGCCUCAUUGCCGGGAAGAGAAUAACCUCCUGCAACAUUUUAUCAGUUCAGUUCAUGAGUUUAGCCUGAAAGAUUUAAUAAUCAUUAGCAGAGAAUUGAGAUAAAGAGACUGACCUUGAUGUUUUGUGAGUCAGUGAACAGCAUGGCAAGCCUAUCUAUCCCCAAUCCCCAACCACCUGUUGGAGCCAAUCCGUAUUCUAAAGCAUUGCAGAAAGUCUCAUCUAAGGCCAUCGCUUCAUCGUCUCCCGACUGUCUAUCCUUGAGUUGAUCAGCAAACCUUUGACGCUGAACCACAGGAUCGUUCAGCUCGGUGUAGGCGUUGCAAAGCUGUGGUCAAGUUUAUAAUAUGUUAGUAAAACAAAGUAUUAAGAAAAGAUGCGUGAUGUGAUGGAAUCAGAUUGGUAAUUAGCUUUUACUUCAUGUUUGUUGAUGAACAGCUCGAAUCUCUCAGUCAGAACACUGUUUGAUCUAUGCCAUUUCGCCAAGGGAGACAUGAUCUCGGGAUGGUUGAUGAUGAACGUUGGGUUGACACAUGUCACUUCCAGAAAUUCUCCAACAAGCUGCAAAAGAGAACAUCUCAGAUUUCAAUUUCAUAUUCACAGACAUAAAAGAGGGAAACUGAAGAUUCCCUUACUUUAUCUAGUAGACGAGCUGUAGUCUGAGGAGGCGGGCAUUUCACGUCGAACCUGGCACAAGCAUCAAUCAGAUACUUGUUGGCUUCUUUGCUAGCCAAGUCUUUUGGAAUAUUGAGGUUCGCCACCUUCUCUAACUCUCCUAUCAUCUCAAUCCUCCUAUACAAACAAAAAUUAGGGAGACCAUUAACACAUACAACUUCAUUACUGGUUGUUAUUUAAUAAAUGAGGCUGUUGAUUGACUAUCAAACCUGAAUGGAGGAGUGAAGUCAAUUUCGAUUGGCUCCUUAUCAUACCCAUUAGCAUGAUACUUGAUUUUGUAACCACCUGUUAACUCUUUCACCAUGCCACUCAACAUAUCCUCAGUCAUUUUCAUCAGGUCAUUGUAGUCGGCGAAAGCCAUAUAGAACUCGCAAGUGGUGAACUCCGGGUUGUGUGUCAGGUCAAUACCCUCGUUUCUGAAUUGCUUCCCAAUCUCAUAGACACGUUCUAAGCCACCUACAAUAAGCUGCUUGAGAAAGAGUUCAGGUGCGAUACGCAUGUACAGCUUCAUGUCUAGAUCAUUGUGAUGUGUCACAAAGGGUCGCGCAGCUGCUCCACCAGCAAUCAUGUUCAUCAUAGGUGUCUCAACCUCCAAGAAUCUUUGAUUGUCAAGGAAUCUCCGGACGUAGGAGAUGAUAUUGGCUCUGGUUUUGAAUAUCUGGCGAACCUCCACGUUCAACAUUAGAUCAAGGUAACGCUGGCGAUAUCGAGAUUCCUGCCAGGGAAACAAAAAGAGUAACAUCAAACGCUUGCUCGGAUAGCAACAGAAUCCAAAACACAACCAGAAAGUGAUCAAACAAAAGAUAGAGGCUACAACAAUCUUUAUAGCUUUUGAAAUUUUACCUGAUCUUUCAGAACAUAUGCUUCAGGAUUCCUCGGUUCACCAGGAACCCAGUUUUCAGGUUUCUACGUAAAGAAAAUAGUGAAACAGAUCAGUGUCAAUUCAAAUAAGUUGACUCUAAGGUAAUGUAACAGCCACAGUGGAUUUGCUUUACCUUUGCGCCAACACUGUCAGCCUUUCUUGGCAUCAUGUGGAGGCAAUGCGACAGAAGAAUAAACGAUCGGGGAAAAAUACUCAACUCUCCUCUCUUAGUUUUUCCUGAAAUUAAAAGUAACUUGAACAAUGAAACAAGACAACAAAAAUAGGCUAAAAGAAUGAAUAAUAAAAAAACAUAGAGAGGCUGCACAAACCUGGAAACCCAGUAACACCAACAAUAUCACCACGCUUAGCAUUCGCAUGGAGCUUUGAAAACUCAGCUUCAUCCAACCCUGACUUACUAAAACAAGAAGAAAAAAAAAAAAGCAACACACCUAAGUAAAAAUCUAGUCCACAGCAUCAAGCCAUCAAAGUUAACAAAGAAGAAGCAUUCACCUUGCAUCAGCCAUGACCUGGACCUUGAAAUCCUCACCGUGAAGAUCAUAGAAGAAGAGCUUGGAAGAGGAAGCUCGCUUGCUCAUUAUCCUCCCUAGCAAAAAUCAAAUGAACAUCCCUUUCCACUCUUAAGAACAAAAUGGCAUUUAGCAGUUUGAACAUACCAGCUAGAGAAACUUCAGCGUCUUCAACAUGAUCCCCAUUGUUCAAACCACCAUACUUCUCAAUGUACUCAGGGAUAGACAUCGACACAGCAAACUUGUGAGGGUACGGAUUCUCCCCCUUAGCCUUCUCCGCCGCGAGAUACUUCAAUCUGUUCUCAAAGUAUUGCUGCGAAAGAUAACACAAGUAAGCUGCAUUGCAUAAGACAAACGAGAUCAUAGUAUUGAAUUGAAAUGUAUACCGUUGGAUCCAUAUCCUCAUCAUCUGCUGAUGCCACUGACUUCUGGGAGCUUGCCUUUGGAGCCUGAAUCAAUCAAAAUCAAAAUCAAAUUAUCUUUAACUAAUCAACCUGAUAACCUGAAUGCACAGUGUUUGCUCUUACUUGUUUGGCUUUUUGUUUCCUCUCUUCCUCUCUCUGCUUCAUCUUCAGUUCCUUCUUCAGAGCACUGCAAACAACAUCCGCUACAAUCAGAUUCCAUUCACAAAUAUGAUCGAGAGACCAAUAAAACGUACUUUUUACUCCGAGCUCCAUCGCCAGUCGAAGAGGGAGCAGGAUCCAUGGAUAGUUUGGAUAUUUCUUGCGUUGUUUGAUCAACUGAGCCUUCCAUGGAAAUCGAAUUAUUGGUACACGAAUCCAGAAGAAGAAGACGGCGAAGAUGAGGAAUGAGUCUUCUUUAGGGUUUAUUAUUAUUAUUAUUAUUAUUACUCCUCGUGAUUUUUACGCGGGUUAUUCAUUAAGGUUUCUUGAUUCUUUCCGGUUUAUGAACAAACCGAACCGGUUCGUUUAAAAAGUAACGAUUUUGAGUGCAUGUUUAUUGAUUAAUGACUUGAUUAUGUUGCAUUACAUAAUUAAUACAAAAACCCUAGUGUUAUUAUAUCACAGAUGUUUAAAAUUGACAAAUCAAAUGCAGUAUCAAAGAUUAAUCUUCUUCUAUGAAAUAAUUCUUUAAGAAGAACAUCAAUAAUACCCUAAAAGUGGAUUUUUUACAGAAUUAGUAUUUUAAAAAUAAUCAUAAAAUAUUAAAUAAGUUUCUCAAAUUAGUAUUUUGAGAAACUAACUUAAUAUUAUAAUGUAGUCUUAUUAUGUUAGCUAUUUAGAUAUUCAUUUAUUUAUAUCAAUAAUGAUGCUCUAAACUAAACAGACCUUGUGUUUCAAAAAAAAAAAAAAAAGAACUAAACAGACCUCAUUUUUAUACAUAAACAGCUUUACAGCAUUGUUUCUUUUAUUAACGUUACAUCACUAUAUUUGUUGACAACACUUGUUGCUAAUCUCACACUAUAACAUGUAAGUUGAAACGACUGAUGUUUCCUUAUAUUGAUAGUAGUUUGCUUUAAACUCUUUGCAACUUGAAAGACACUAAACCUCUGGCUUGGCUUUACUCCCUAGUGGCUAUUUCAAGUCCUUCUCAUCCAUGACCUGAUUCCGAAGCAGCCUGGUCUACGUUUUCUCUGCAGAAUCGAGCUCCUACCUCCACUUAAACCGUUUGGUUUGUCGUCACUAUUCUCUUCUGUUUUGCUAAAAAUAGUUGUGGCUUGUGAGAUUGUUAUCCUUGUCACCUCUUCAGAGUUUGUUGUACGAUCGAUCUUGCUAGAUCCAGCAAAAGAACUUGAUCCACUUCGCCUAUAUAUUAACAACUCUAAAAAGAUUAAAAACCAUUUAAUAUUAUGGAAACCACUUCUUGAGAUUCUUUAGUAUUUACCUAUUGUUGUUGUUUUGGUUGUGAUAAUGCGCGAGGGAUGCUUCAUCAAGAACUUCAUUUUUCGGAUCUUGACUACAAACUUUGCUGCUUGAAACAGCCGCGUUGCUCUCUGAAUGCUGUUUUGGUGAUGAUGAUGAUGAUGACGACGCUUCUUCUUCCUCUGAAGAGGAUGAGGUAUUAUCAUCUUUUCUAGAUUUUCUAACCAUUGAUAUCACUCUCUCUAGUGUCCCUAGUGCUUGCUUCACCUCUGGACUUAGGCAGAAAAGUGUUUCACCAUCGUUGUUCCGAGACUUCCCAUUGACAUUUUCAUCCUCUUCCGAGAAAGAAGAAACACUUUUAUCUUCUUCUUCUUCCUCAAUCUCAUGAACAUUUCCUUUGAAAGGUACACGUUCACUUGCUUGAACAUUUUCAUCAGUGUUAUCAGUAGGAGGAUACAGAGCUUUACGUACAAGAGUGUACAAUGGACCAUCUAAAACUUUGGCGUAAUCUUCUGAUUUAACCAUCGAACCUAUAGUCUGUGUACACAUUCAAGUAGACAAACCACAUCACACAACUUAGCAACCUGAGAAACCAAGAUUUAAUGAACUAAAGAAGCUGGAAAGUACCUCCUUGAAAAGUUUGAAACCGUUGCCUAGGAGCUGCCUAGACAUAAAGUUGAUCAGAGAUGGAGGAAUCAAGUCCAGCUUUAUAUCGAACUCCACUAUGUAUCUACAAAAGUUCCACAGUUUAUAAGAAGACCAAAGAACAUUUCAAGUUUAUACUAUAAACAAUUUAAUAUGGUUUUAAUAAUAUUUUUUUUAAACAAGUUUGGGAGCUUUUGUUAUGUAAAUUAUUUUAUAAAUUUUGGGGGCUAUAGGCCUAUGAUUCAGCUCAUGACCGUCCCUGCACUCACCUCAGGUAACUCCUCACAGGAGACACUUUUUGUAUAGCGACUCCACCUACUAAAUCAAUCCUCACAGCAUUCUCUGCUUCUUCAGAUAUACCAAUGCUCUCUACUUGUGAUGCUGAGAUCUAAAAGAUGAUACCAACAUAGUUUAGUUUAGGAUAAUGUAAAAGCAUAAAGAAACAAUUAAAGAAUCUAACAUGGCUUUACCGAGUUGAGUAGGAUGAUGACUAAACCAUCUUUGAAGUAUUCAAAUAAGAAAAACUGCACAAUAGCUUCUCUGUUUGUCAUUGGCCACGGUAAUUUCACCCUUUCUUCCCAAAAAAGUAAUUAUCAUCAAAAUGUUCAGAUUAGCUUCAAAGAAAAUAGAAAGAAACUGACCUCACUAAACAUAUCUGUUCAUUGAUCCGAAACUUUUGCAAACAUCCAGUUUGUAAGAUCCUGAAUGCUGGAAAUACAGAGUUUGGCCACCUUAAAAACAUAGAAACCAUUAAUUUCUAUUCUAUUUAGGCCAUAUUGAGUGUUCUCACUGAGUUUUUUUAUAGAGAAAAAAACCGUACAUUAAUUGUUAUGCAAUAUCAAGAUGUUUGAAACCCAAAAUAUGCAUAAACAAAAACUCUCUUACCAUUUCUCAUAGAGUGAUGAUUCCCAAGAUACACAUAGACCUGCAUAAACGCACUUAGAACGAAACUGAAAACCUUUUUCUUCUAUCAGUCUUAAGAAAACUUACAGUCCUGGAUGGGCCCAUCCAUGUAACCUUCAACGAGCAACGUGUGAAACGGACUUCCAUCAAAUCCUUCACGGUACAUAACACGACAAUCUUCAUGAUCAUGUUUCACCUGCAAAACAAGAACCAAAGAAAAAAAAAAUAGUUUGCUAACAUGAUGACAAUUCUGUUUCCAAAGUUAGCGAAGCAUGCAAUGAAAACAUACUUUCCAAUCACCACAAGAUGCUUCUUUGGUUGGGUUAGACAAAUCUUGAUCCUUUGCUGAAACACUCCUAAGCUUCUCAAGUAUACUAGAUAAGCCAGCAACUCGUUGAUCCAAUACAUCCACACUACACUCUGUGAUCAAACAUAUGAAAAAGAAACAUUAUAACAAAAUGCCAAAAUAAAAGAGAGUUUCCGCAUAUAGCAGAUCAGAAACAAGGAAAACCUUCUUCAUUUAGCUGGUUUCUGAUAAGGGUUUUAAGAGUUUGCUCAUUUGUAAGCGCAGGAGACGCCAAGGUUUUGUCAAGUCUCUCCCUGUACUCACAAAUCUCUCGUUUUUUCUCCAUACACACCUUUGGAAAAUAAAUGAAUUCUCAAAUCAAAAGCAAAGAUGGCCAGAUUACGGAGCUUUGUAGGGAAGAAGAACCUUAAACGGAAGGCAGUUACAAGGAAGCUAAAACUUUUGAGCUUUGCCAGAAAGAAAAAAAAAAAUCAGCUAGCUGCCAAUAUGAUAUGAGUAAGCGUAACCUACGAGAUGGGCAAAGAACGUGGAGGUGUUUUCUCAAUAAGUAGUAAAUACUCUCUCAUUUUCUCGGGAAGAUACCAAAAAAGAUCUGGGAAAGAAGAAAAAGGAGAAUGUCUCAUUUCCCAAAACGCAUACAGUUUGCAUGGACAUUCCAAACUGAUUGAACUUUUUUUGUUAGUCUUGUAAGGACGAGGUCGGUUAAGUGUCGCUAUCACUUGAAUUAUGUAUGAAACCAUGAACCAUCAUCUUCUGUUUAAAAAAAAAAAAAUCAAAAGAAAAAUACAAUUUGAAAUGAGAAAUAUUCUUAUCUGACGCUUGAUUUUUUAAAUUUUUUAAAUUUAUUUAGUUAAAAUUGAAGAACAUAUUUAUAUUUUUCUCUAGGGCUCUACUUAUUAUGCAUGCAUUUUUUAAAAGAAAAAUGAUAUCAUAAAGCUUUAACACAAACGAUAAGAUUACUUAGAUAUUUCACUACAAAUUAAAUAAUAAUGUGCAUGAAUGAAAUUUUAUUUCGAAGUUUUGUGUAAAUGCAUGAAUCUAAGUUUGAAUCGAUUUUAUAAACAGAGCAAUAAUGAUGAAAUUGAUUGCUUUUAGAACAUAUACAUAAAAAAAUGUGUGUAAUUUUGAUGCAUUUGGUGGUGUCUUCUGAAACCAUGUGGGUAAAUGAUGAGUUUAACUGAUAUACUGUAGAAACAGUUUGUAAGAAAGUUGAGUUUGGCUCGAAUCUCUAAAGUAUCAAUCAUGUUCCAUCUUCAUUAUCUUUCGCGUUCUCAUUCUAUGGAUGUAGCUGCAGCUUUUCAAAAUCCUAUCCUAUUGUAGUGAACAUGAUCAGCCUAAAAUCAUGUGUUCCAAACUCGAAUUAUAUAAUCAUAAUAGAAGUUAUACUAUACUAGAGACAAGGACAUUGCAACUACCACCAUAGAUUGAACAUAGAGUGACAUGGUAUCAAAGUUUCCAGCGUUACUGUUUUAGACAGCCAUUAGUUUUCACAGCACAUAGUAAGAAAAAAAAAAGUCUCACAUAGUUUUGAUAACACUUUGCUUAACUACUGACCGCAGCAACCGCCACCAUUGUUCUGUUGGAUUGGCUGACCUUUCAUUUGGACAGUUCCACUUCCAGAUGUCUUGUUUGCAUUCGUCUGGCUUCCCAUUCUGAAACAGUAAUGAUGACAUAUGGUCAGAUUCAAUAAAACAAAAUUAAACAAGUAGAUCUCUAUACAAUAAGAUCAAACACAUGAAAAAAAUCUAUCAUAUAAUAUGAUAACAGAAGGAAGAGGCAACAAGAGAACAUUAACGCAGGAACUUUGUAGAUUUUCUCUCCAUCAGUCAUCAAGACUCCAAAAACUUAUAUCCGAUUUAACAUUUUAAAUGAAUGGUUCAUUUCAUGAAUUGCAGCAGAAUAACCCAGAGAAUGCUUUGGUGUAUAAUGGCGAUGAAGGAGAAUAGUUUAGACCAACUUCAAUAGUGAAUAAUUAUAUAAAGUUAACAUAUUGCAGAAACUAUGAAGAAAGCUAAAAGAUAGUGAACAUACUUCUUCUUGAUCUCGCCAGCAAUAGUUAAGAAUGCCUGUUCGACGUUGAUAGAAUCCUUAGCACUUGUCUCGAGAAAGGGUAUUCCGAGCUCAUCGGCUAAGGCCUGUAGUGAUUUUUGAAUAGAUGAAACGUAAGAUAAGCAAGUGAGAGCUGUGUUAAGAGGAGAAACGGCUACUGAACAUAAGCAAAAUUUAAUCUCUGAAAUCAGAUUAUCAACUUUGGACUUUGGUCAGCGAUCAUAUAUAAAUAUAGUCGUAGCACCUAAUAUUGUGGUAUAACAAUAUCAAUGAUCUUACUAUCAACACACGUUUAAAGAUUUGUGCUACAAUGAUAUGAUUAAAUGAAAAAAAAAAGGGUAAAUAAUGCUUGCAACUCAUCUAGAUCCACAAUCAUAACUGGAAACUACUAGUUGUAGAUGCGAGCUAACCUUUCCAGUUUCGGUGGAAACAACUUUACUUUCAACCAUAUCAUUCUUGUUACCAAUAAGAAGCUUGCAAACACUGUCAUUAGCAUAUCUGUCAAUCUCACUCAACCACUGCUUCACAUUGUUGAAACUCUCCAUCUCGGUACAGUCAUACACAAUCUGUUGCAAUCUCAUCAGUUUAAACAAUGAAGAUUAAAAUAGUCUUCCAGGAUUCUAUUUUCCACUAACAAACAUGUUUCAGAGUAAAGAGAACUGAGAAAAGAUGAUCAAUGAUUCAAAUUGCCACCAGGUUAUACACUAAACCACUAAAAGAAACGGAACUCAACAAAACACUAAUCUAGUCAAACAAAAAGUAUGCAAGUAAGAAAGCGGAUAAGAGUACUACUCACAAUGAUUCCAUGAGCUCCUCUGUAGUAGCUGCUAGUGAUGGUCCUGAAACGCUCCUGCCCAGCAGUAUCCCACUGAAGAGAACCAUCAACAGUAGUAACACAUGAUUAUCCUAAAACAUGUUAUAUACAAAUGAUCUAACUGAAGAGAACAUCAACAGUGCAUGAUUUUAACAUAUAUAAUCAUUCGAAACAAGUUACAAAAAUGCCCUUUAAACUCACGAUUUGAAGCUUAAUCGUCUUCCCAUCCUGCUCAAUCGUCCUAAUUUUCUGCAAUUCGAACCACAUUAUAAGCAACUUUGUGACUAACAAUCAAAUCACAUAUAUAUAGUAUAUGAUCGUUUAAGAUUAUGAAAGGAACUGACGAAGUCAACACCAAUGGUACUUAUGUAACUGUCGAUGUACGCAUCAUCCUGCACACAAAAUCAAAUCUAAAAAUCAGCGAAUCUCGUUUCGAAAGAGAAUCGAAUCAAAAAAUCAAGUCCAACUCACAGCGAAUCGAAGAAGCAGGCAUGAUUUUCCUACGGAUGAGUCGCCGAUCAACAGAAGCUUGAACAGAUAAUCGCUACAAAAAAAAACGCACAGAUAAAGACGAUUGAGCUGUAUAAUUGGGGAAUGCGAUAGAGAGGAGAACACUUACUACUCGUUGCUCAUGGUUUCUCGAGCUCUUCGUGAGUUUUUUCCGAUUGAUUCGUGAAUUUUUCCCAGGAAAAAAGAAGUUUUCUAAGAAAAAAAUAAAAGGAGGUUACGGUUAGGCGUGUCGAUUAAAGUGCUGUGAAACAUUGAUUGAACCCCACGACUUCAAUGUUGAUUUUCUUCUACAGUUUUAAAUUAUUUUCCUUUACUUGUCUCGUGACAAAUAAACAAGCUUUUGACCUUGUUGAAAGUACUUUUAGAAUUGUCUUCUGGGCCUUUUAAUAGAUAGUGGGCCGGGCUCAAAUCUUGGAGUUCGACCAAGCUAUCUAGUGUUCCUUCCGGAUUAUUUUUUGUUUGGAGGUCGACGUCAACUUACAUUAUCCAACAUUCGGUUUCACUUUCAUCUCCACAUUCAUCGGGUUGGACCACGAUUACACAACCUAGAGUCUAUGUAGUAUCAUCCAAAAGUAUUUGAAGGCUUCAUAUCGACCUGAAGUUUAUUCAAAACAAAGGUUCCAAACGGUAACAUAAGGAAUUAAGGGAAAAUUAUAAUUUUUUAUUCAUUUUUUUUUAACAUUUACACGAUAUAUGAGAAAUUUUUGUUACAUAUAAUUUUAGGUCAUUCCUUAAAUUACGAAGAACUAUUAAACAAGAUAGAGAAAUUUUAUAUGAUAGCCAUUUUUUAGUUUUUGUUACAAAAAUAGCAUUUAAAAAGGAAAAUAACCAAAAUAAGUUAUUUUAAAGGGUAAAUAUAUAUUUAUACCCUAUGAUUAACUAAUCUAGAUUUAUGGUUUAGAGUCAAGGGUGGGGUUUUGAGUAUAUGGUUUUAAAUUUUAAAAAAUUAAAAAUUAAAAUUAAAAUUUUCAAAAUUAACAGAUAUCGCUAGAUAUGGUCCUCUUCAGGUGUUCUCCCUAUCUGGUAUCUUGGGCUGCCACUGAUGAGCCGCAAGCUUAAGAUUGCUGAGUACGCGUCUUUGAUGAACAAGAUAACUCUCAGCUUUCAAUCUUGAUUAGUUAAGCUCCUCUCCUUCGCCGGAAGACUGGAGCUACCGAAAACAGUUAUAUUUGGGAUUGUUAAUUUUUGGCCUCUGCUUUCAUGCUGCCUAAGGGCUGCAUCAAGCACAUCGAGACGUUAUGCUCCCGCUUUCUAUGGUCCGGAAACAUUAAGAAGCGUGGAUUAGCAAAAAUUUCUUGGACAACAGUUUGCUUACCCAAAACAGAGGGCGGCUUGGGCAUUCGCAGCCUCUUGGAGUGGAACAAAGUGUUGUGCUUAAAGUUCAUCUGGAUCCUGCUGUCAAAAACUCCUUCGCUUUGGUCUGAUUGGCACUGGAACAAGCACCUGCAGGAAAGAUUUUUUUGGACCAUCGAGCCGUCAGCUACCGACUCUUGGGCUUGGAAAAGACUACUGAAGCUCGGCGAUCUGGCUCUUCAGUUUUGCAAAGUGUCAUUGGGUAACGGGAAGGAUGCAAGCUUUUGGUUCGAUGCUUGGUCUCCUCUUGGUCAGCUUAUAACGUACAUAGAAGCGCAAGGUCCUAGAGCCCUACGGUUGAGACGGGACGCUGUAGUAGCUGAUGCGAUCCAAGACUCAGCUUGGGUUCUCCCUCAUCCAAGAUCACAGCAGGAAGUUGACCUUCACUCUUAUCUUACGACUAUUUUCCUGCCUUUUUCCCUUGAUAUUGAUGAUAGGUAUGAAUGGAUUGCUGGUGACUUUCCUUCACGUGAUUUCAGGUCCUCAACGACAUGGGAGACUUUAAGGCCAAGACAAGAGGAAGUGGACUGGCACGAUCUUGUAUGGUUCAAGGGAGCGAUACCCAAACACUCUUUCACGAUGUGGGUGGCCAACUAUGACAGGUUGCCUACAAGGAACAGGCUAGCGGCUUGGGGAAUGGCCAUUGAUACGGACUGCCUCUUUUGUUCGAGAAGCAUAGAAACCAGAGACCAUAUGUUCCUUCGUUGCGAGUACAGCCUUGAUUUUUGGAGAGAGGUCUUCGCCAGAUGCCAUCCUUCAUUGUCAAGCUUUACGGACUGGUCAGAACUGCUAUCAUGGAUACGAGCUGAUGUGCCUGUGAAGCUGAAGCUCAUGCGGAAGCUUGCUACUCAAAUGGUCAUCUUUCAUCUUUGGAAACAAAGAAACAAUUUGAUCCACAACCAAAUCUCACUCCCUGCUGCAUCAGUGUUCUAUUUUGUUGAUAAGGAGAUGAGAAACAUUAUUUCAGCAAAGGAAGCAUAGGAAGCAAUUCCGAUCGCUCAUGGCUUGCUGGCUGAAAUGAUCAUGUCAGUGUUAAUGUUUAGUCAAAUGAUGAUCCAUCUUGUUUUUUUUUUUUUUUUGCAAAGAUGGUUCAAACUUAAGAUCUUGCUCUUGUAAAAUCUUCUUUUCAUUCUAAUGAUAUUUACAAUUUAGCAAAAAGAAAAAUAAAAUAAUUUUUUUUAAAAAAAAAACUAUUUUGGUUAUUUUUUCUUUGAGGAAUAUUUUUGUGACAAAAACUUAAAAAUGAUUAUCCGAGAAAAUUACACUAAAACAUAAACAUUUUUUUAUCUUCAUCACUGGUUUAAUCUCUUUUCAUCAGAAGAAUUGUUCUUCAACAGGUUAGCAAUCUCUUUACAUCGGUCAACCAUCUUUAUCAUCAUCACUGGUUUAAUUUGUUCCAGCCUUAAUUCUCGCUCAGACUGAGAUCUCAUGGUCAUCUUUGGACUCGGCCAACUCUUUUAACUAAUCUUCACGUGAGUUUUAUUAUAAAGAAUUUUUCUUAGAUAUAUUUUUUUAGUUUAUUUUCACAGAGAAAAAUGACCAAAACAAAUUUUAUUGAAUGGUAAAUAUGUAUUUAUACCAUAGGUUUAACUAAUUUAAUACUUAAUUAGGGUUUAGAGUUAAGGGGUUGGGUUUUGAGGAUGAGUUUAAAUUUUUAAAAAUAAAAUAUAAAUAUUAAAAUUUUCAAAAUAAAAAAAGCUAUUUUAGUCAUUUUAUUUUUUAGGGUUAUUUUUGUGACAAAAACUUAAAAAUGAUUAUUCGAAAGAAUUGUCUUUUCUUAUAUGUUUGUUAAUUUUGUAUGCUCCACUAAAUUAUUUGUAUCUUUUUCAUUUCUUAUCAAAAUUAGCAAAGAAGGCAACAUAAGUAAUAAAUACUAUUUAUUUCAUACUAUAUAUUAUUUUGUUUAUAUUCAUUUUUUGUUUUCAUUCCUAUUGUCAUUUUGAUAGUCACAGUUUAAAACUAAAGACUAAGAUCGAAUUUAUUCAAGCAUACUUAGAAUGAAGAGAUCAACUCUUAAACCACAAACUUACAAGACACAAAACCUGAGUCUGAGAGGAAAAUUGAGACCUAAACAAGACAACUAUCUUAUAACGUCAAUAUGGUCACGACAAGAUUGGAUUUGAGAUUCGUUUCGGUCUAGAGGAGAUUCAUGGAAGAACUAUGGUUUUAACUAGUGUUCGGAGAGAGGAAUGCAAAAACAAUAUAAGCAACAGGUUCAUUAGACACGCUUACAUUUGAUCAGACUGCAUAUGACAUAAUAUCAGAUGAGCCAAUAAAAUAUGAUAAUAACUAAUUAUCCCUGCAUUAUAAUUGACAUACCCACCAUUUCUAUCAUUUUAUCGCUCUAAUCAAAUGUUGAUUAAGAAAUUAUUAAUUCACUAAUAUACAUUCUUAUUUUUUUUGUCUAUAUACACAAUAAAAAUAGAUACUCCCAUAAUCCCAUUCCUUAAUUUAUCAUCUAUUGUUUCCAUCAAAUCUGCUUUGAAAAAAUCAAUGUGUUUGCUAUGUAGCAAAAUUUAGCAAAAACAAAUAUAGACAAAACCCAAAUUUAAAAUCUCAGUGAUAUACCUCAUCAAAAUAUCCUAGUUAUAAAUACACUACAUGACAACAAAAGAGAACAAUCUCAAUCUUAAUCUUAUUCAAGAAUCACAAAAAGGUAAAGAGAGAGAUUCAUUAGAAAAAUGGCGAUCGUGGGCCCUCAAUUUUGCGCACCGUACCCGGUAGAUUUGGGUAUCGUACGUAAGGUUAUGACGAUAACAGACGGUAACUUCGCCGUCACAGACGUCAACGGAAACCUCCUUUUCAAAGUGAAAGAACCAUUGUUUAGCCUCUCCGACAAAAGGUUCUUACUAGACGCUUCAGACAAUCCGAUUAUGACGUUGAGAGAAAACGUAAGAACACAAAACACUCUUGUUUUAUAACUUGUGCAUGGAUUAAGACACAUGAUUUAACUUUUUGUUAUGAAAACAUUUGUGCAUGUAUUAAGACACAUGAUUUAACUUUUUGUUAUGAAAACAUUAUAGAAGGUGAGCCUGCACGAUAGGUGGCAAGUAUUUAGAGGGAAGAGUACAGACCAAAAAGAUUUGGUGUACACGUUGAAACGAUCGUCAAUGAUUCAAUUGAUGAAGCCAAAGCUAGACGUGUUUUUGGCUCAAAACAAGGAAAUGAAGAUAUGUGACUUCCAUGUUAAAGGAAGUUGGAUCGAUCGAUCAUGCGUCGUCUACGCCGGCAAAUCUGAUGCCAUUGUUGCUCAGGUAAUCAUAUUUCAUCAAUAACCGGUCCAUAUAGAUAGUUCAUACACAGAGCCGUUUAUAUAGACUUAAUCGGAUGAAACAUUAAUUUUUGCCUCUAAAAUUUUUAAACCGAUUUACACAGGUCCAUAGUAGCUAGCUAAUUUCUAUUAACAGAACUGACUUUAAGCACAAUCGAAUGAAAAUAUUUGUUUUGUUUUCCAAAUUUAAAGAACUACAUAUGUAAAUCGCAUGGUCCUAAAUUAUCAAAAAAAUCUUAUUGAAAUUAAAUUGUUUUUUUUUAUUAUACCAUGUUCAUAUAGUCCGAUCGUACUAAUUUUUUUGUUUGUAUGGUUUCUCAGAUGCACAAGAAACAUACCGCGCAGAGCAUAUUAAUAGGGAAGAGUAACUUCUCGGUCACGGUUUAUCCGAACGUUGAUUAUGCUUUUAUAGUCUCUCUCAUUGUAAUUCUCGAUGACAUUAACCGAGAAGAUUCUGAAGACUAAACACACAAUUUUAAUGGAAUGAUUCUUGUUUUGUAAUAGUAUGAAAUAAGAAUUCGUGAAUCUUGAGGUUUUGUAUUGAUAUGAAUAUGAUAGGGCUUUUUGCAGAAUUGACCUAUAACUUAAAGUCAAACAGAAAACUAAUUUUUUUUUUUUUUUAAAUUGGUUUUGCCCUAUUCACCCCACAAGUUCAUAUAAUUUACGAAAAUGUCAUCAAUUUUUUUUUUCUUUUUUUUUCGAAAAUGACAUUUUUACUCUCUCACCCUCAUCAUCUUCAAGUAAUUACAAGAUUGCCAUUGUCAUCGAUACCACAACCACCAUGAACAACCAAUUUGAAGCUCUUAAUGCUCCCAAAAUCGAUUUACCCUUCUUCUUUUUCCAUUCUUGUGAACUAAACACAACAUAUCUCUCACUUUCUCUCCACAAUGAGCUAAAAAAACCCAAGAUUUUGAUUCUAAAUUUUUUAUGGUUCAUAGAGUCAUAGAAGCUAACGAUUCUGGGUGGGUUACUUUCGUUUGUCAUUCUGUGUGCUUGGAGAAGCCUUAUGUAUGCUAAGGAACUUAUCUCACCAAUUUAAGGUAUGACAUCGAGUUUUUUUCCAGAUCUGUUCGUCAGACGACUUACUUGGGAAGUCGUCUGGCUGUAGACAACUUACCUGGAAGUCGUCUGGUCAACGCAGAGGUUAUUUUUGCAAUUGACUUUGAAAUCUGUAACCUGAGACGACUGAAAUGUAAGUCGUCUAGCUUUUUUGGAGUUUUUUUUUAGCCAAACAAUAGUAGACGACUUAUUUUUCAGUCGUCCGAAAUAACAGAUUUCAAAGUCAAUUGCAAAAAUAACCUCUGUGUUGACCAGACGACGUAUAGUUUAGUCGUCUGGACAACUUAGAUUGAAGUCGUCCGCGUCUUCUCCGCUAGUUUUUAAGUCUUCUACGUUAGUUUUUGAAUAACUUGUAUUUUUAAGAGUGAUAAGUAACUUCAAGAUAUGUAAAACUCAUAUUUACAAAAUAUGUUCUCUCCCUUAGUUUUACUAAAUUUGACUAAGUUUUUCAACGCAAACUUAUAAUAAAAUAUGAUAUGCUUUGACUAGUUACUAUUGUUUGUUUUCAUCUCUUAAGUAUUAUUGUUAUAGACAAUAAUGAUGACUAUUGUUAUGAGUUGGAAGAAGGGUUAAAAUACUUCUUAAAAUGUUGUAUCAAUAUAAAGCUACCAACAUUCUUGUUUAUUAAGAUGAGAAAAAGGCCAUUGGAGUUUAUUAUUGCAUAUGAGAGAUCCAAAGAUAAGAAAAAGGCUACUGAAGUCUAUUAUUUCAUUGAUUUGUAAAUGUGUAAACACAUUGUUAGCACAUUUAAUACAUCUUGGAAAACAUUAUUACUGAUUUUACAAAAAAUUCACAACUAAAAGAGUAGACAUGCAAUUCACAAAACAGACCACAAACAAAACUAUUAUAGAUCAUUCCUCUACAAAGACAAGCUUGGAUUCCACUUGAGUAGACAAGACCACACGACUUGUAAGAAGUCCAGACGACUUCUAAGAAGUCCAGACGACUUCCAAGAAGUUCAGACGACUUUGUCAGAAGACUUUUAGGAAGUUCAGACGACUUUACAGGAAGUCCAGACGACUUUACAGGAAGUCCAGACGACUUUACAGGAAGUCCAGACGACUUUACAGGAAGUCCAGACGACUUUACAGGAAGUCCAGACGACUUUACAGGAAGUCCAGACGACUUUACAGGAAGUCCAGACGACUUUACAGGAAGUCCAGACGACUUUACAGGAAGUCCAGACGACUUUACAGGAAGUCCAGACGACUUUACAGGAAGUCCAGACGACUUUGUCAGAAGACUUCCAAGAAGUCCAGACGACUUCCAGACGACUAACAGGUAAGUCGUCCCAGAAGUCUUCCAGAUCUGAAAAACCUGCAUAUUAAAUCCAGAUCUGAAAAACCUGCAUAUCCAAAAACGUUCAAAUGACUUAAAAACAGAAAAAAUGUGUGAAAGAUUAGAUAAAUCUACCUUUACAGAACACACAAAAAUACAUAUCUAAAAAUAAUAGAUCUACCUUUAAAUUAGUGGAAGAUGAGUACCAUCUAAUUAAAAACCUGCAAAAAAGAUAGAUUAGUAAGAAAGACAUGAGACAAAACUGGAAAAUUCAUAUAAAGUUUGGUGUUUUCAAGUCAAAGAGAUUAGAGUGGGUUUGGAGAGUUUUAGUUUGAGAAAAAAGUAAGAACUUUAUACAACAAGAAGUUCCCAAAUGAAGAAAAAUCAGACAUAAGAACUUACCAAAACGCUCAGAUCUAUUAUGAAAGGAAGACUUCGUCAGAAGACUUCCAUGAAGUUCAGACGACUUCCUGGAAGUCCAGACGACUUCCUGGAAGUCCAGACGACUUCCUGGAAGUCCAGACGACUUCCUGGAAGUCCAGACGACUUCAGACGACUUCCUGGAAGUCGAAGUCCAGACGACUUCCUGGAAGUCCAGACGACUUCCUGGAAGUCCAGACGACUUCCUGGAAGUCCAGACGACUUCCUGGAAGUCCAGACGACUUUGUCAGAAGACUUCCAAGAAGUCCAGACGACUUCCAGACAACUUCCAGACGACUAACAGGUAAGUCGUCCAAGAAGUCUUCCAGAUCUGAAAAACCUGCAUAUCAAAUCCAGAUCUGAAAAACCUGCAUAUCCAAAAACGUUCAAAUGACUUAAAAAUAGAGAAAAUGAGUGGAAGAUUAGAUAAAUCUACAUUUAUAAAACACACAAAAAUACAUAUCUAAAAUUAAUAGAUUUACCUUUAAAUUAAUGGAAGAUGAGUACCAUUUGAUUAAAAACCUGUAAAAGAGAUAGAUUAGUAAGAAAUACAUGAGACAAAUAGAUUAGUAAGAAAUACAUGAGACAAAACUGAAAAAUUCAUAUAAAGUUUGGUGUUUUCAAGUCAAAGAGAUUAGAGAGAGGUUGGAGAGUUUUAGAAUGAUGAACAUUACAUUUUUGUUGCAGCCAUUUGAGAGGAGGAGAGAGAAUGUGUAAAUUUUUCUUUAUAUAGGGAGACAAAAAAUCCAAUUAGAUUAAAUAUUUUUUACUCAGACGACUUCCUGGACGACUUACAUUUCAGUCGUCUGGUGAAGAAAUUAAAACAGACGACUUACAUGUAAGUCGUCCAGAAGAGUUUAAUAUUUUUAGCGGGAAAUUAAAUAUUUUUAGCGGGAAACUAAAAUAGAAGACUUUCCAGACGACUUACAAGUAAGUCGUCUGGUUUAAAUUAUUUAAGCGGGAAAAUAAUUUUUUUAAAAAAAUUUAGGCGGGAAUAUUUGGACGACUUACAUGUAAGUCAUCUGUUUUAAUUUCUUCACCAGACGACUGAAAUGUAAGCCGUCCGAGUAAAUUAUUCAACAGACGACUAAAAUAUACGUCGUCCGAGUAAAUUAUUCAACAGACGACUGAAAUAUAAGUCGUCCACACCCUAAACAUAACCCCUAAACUUAAUUAUCUAAUUAAAGACUUCAUAAAAUCAAAUCAAACUUGAAAAGUGUUUACUAUACACAUAAAUAAACACAUAUAGGUGAAAACUAAUUUUUGAAAAAAACAUUUUAGUUUUCCAAAAUUAACCCUAACAAUACAUACAAUACUACAACAUAUGUUUGCCAAACUCCUAAACCAAAGUAUUUCAUGAUUCACUACUUCCACUCAUCUAUCUUCAAAACAAAUCAAUUUUAUCAUAUCUUAAUUUAUAUCACUUAAAACUGUUUAUAAUUACUUGAUUUUUAUUUUUCACGCAUCAAAAUAUUUUUUUACAAGAUUUAUAAAUUAUUUUUAAAAUAAACUGGUACCAGACGACUUAAACUUCAGUCGUCCAGACGACUUCCAACAUCUCAGACGACUCAGACGAUUUACUGGGACUAUAUUCGUAAAAAUGGCUUCUAUUUUUUUGUUUGGUCACAAGGGGUUGAGCUGUAAUUUCACUAGGCUUUUAGGUUAGUUUUGCAUUUGAUUCAAGUUUGGGUAUAGGUUUGGGAUUAAAAUCAAGUUGUGGGUUAGUUUUGGCGAAAACCCCAAUAUGAUAUUUGCAUGGAUACAUUUCUCUUUGUCUCGACAGAGGAUUAUCGAAAGCUUCAGGGUUAUUCAGUUCCUUGAACAGGUAAUCGACUGUACUCUUGAUAAGUGUAAGAGCAUGAUUAUUGCAAAACCCUAUAUGAGGGGUUCUUAUUAUUUAUUUAAUGCUUUUAAAUAGAAAAAGUGAUUUAAGAGACAAAAUUAAGAAAUCCUAACUUUUAAGUGCUUGUUCUUAAAUUAAGGCUCUUAAAAAAAUUAUUAAACAUAUUUUUAUUAAACCUUAAUUUUUUUGAUUAAAUAAAACAUACUAAAAUAAAACAUUUUAAACAUAGACUUUUAAAUAAAAUUAUAAAAACAAAGAUUAGUAAAGUGAAGAAGCAUUCGAAUCAGCUGUUGUCUUCAUCACGUCCAAAUUUAAGCCAUACAUGUUCAACCAAAUCAUCUUUCAGUUGUUGAUUCAUUUGUCUAUCACGAAUUCUAACACGAACACCCAUCAUAUUGGCGAUAUUUGUAUGGAUAUCUGUAGAAUACGUGAGAUCUACAUGUGAACUUCCGUUGUCUUUUCUUUGUUGGAACUCCGAAACAUCAAAUUGAGUGUAUCCAUCUCGUUCGUCUUCUACUAUCAUAUUAUGGAGUAUGAUACAUGCUCGCAUAAUCUUCUCAAUUUUGACUUUAUCCCAAAAAAGUGCUGGAUUUUUAACAAUGGCAAAACGAGCUUGCAAGACUCCAAAAGCACGCUCGACAUCCUUCCGGACAGCUUCUUGAUGUUGAGCAAAUAAAACUGCUUUCAGCCCUUUUGGUAUUGGAAUAGAUUGGAUAAAAGUUGCCCAUUUCGGAUAAAUACCAUCGGUGAGAUAGUAAGUCAAAUGAUACUCUCUUCCAUUGACAUAGUAAGUGACUUCCGGAGCAUGACCCUUUAUUAUGUCAUCAAAAACAGGUGAGCGAUCAAGAACAUUAAUAUCGUUUAAGGUACCUGGAGGUCCAAAAAACGCGUGCCAUAUCCAGAGAUCAUAUGAAGCAACCGCUUCUAAAACGAUGGUUGGUUUUCCAGAACCACGACAAUAUUGCCCUUUCCAAGCAGAGGGACAAUUCUUCCACUCCCAAUGCAUACAAUCGAUGCUUCCUAUCAUCCCGGAAAAACCACGAUACUCUCCAAUAUCAAGUAGACGUUGAAGAACAGCCGGUGUUGGUCUUCUUAGGUACUCAUCGCCGAAUAAAUUUAUUAUUCCUUCCACAAAAUGUUCCACACAUUUACGAGUUGUUGAUUCACCGAGACGUAGGUAUUCAUCGACCGUAUCAGCCGCAGUACCAUAUGCCAAGACACGAAUAGCUGCUGUACACUUUUGGAGUGUAGAGAGACCAAGCCUUCCAAGAGCAUCUUUUUUUUGGCGAAAAAAUUGAACUUCAUUGGAGAGUCUAUCAACAAUGUGCAUGAACAAUGGCUUCUUCAUUCUAAAACGUCGUCGGAAAAUAUUUUCAGGAUACGUUGGAGUUUCACUGAAAUAAUCAUUCCAUAAACGUACAUGACCUUCUUCUCGAUUUCUUUCGAUAUAAGCUCGUUUUUUUCUUUUUUUCCUUGCUUCUUCUUCAUCACCAUAAGCAAUGGUCAAAUUCUCUAACGUUGUAUCAAAACAUUGAUCAAAAAAUUGAUCAAAAUGUUCAUCAAAAGCGUCAUCUAAUGAUCCUUCAAAAGUAUUAUGAGAAGAGGAUGCCAUUGUUUUGAUUAUUUUUGAUCAAUUGUUUUUGAUUGUUUUGUUUGGUGAGAAGAUGAAAGAAAAGGUAGUUGAUUGUUUUGUUUGGUAAGACGGCAAAAAAGGGUAUAAGGUGAGAAGGUGAUAAGGUGAGAAGGUGAUAAUAAGAGAACAAUGCGAGAAUGAGAAGGUGAUAAAAUGUUUUUGAUUGUUUUGUUCGGUGAGAUGGAAUGUGAGAAUGAAGGUUUUGAUACUUAUGCUUGGAGAGAAUGCAACUUUAUAUAGAGUUAACACAAAUCCGCAGAAGACACUACAACAUCCCGUGACACUACACUACAACAGAGGCAUGACUACAAUAAUGGCCCGUGAUCAUUACACUACAACAGGAAUGGCCCGUGGAACUACACUACAACAGAAGCAUGACUACAAGAAUGGCCCGUGACACUACACUACAACAGGUUCUGAUACAAAAGAGUACACUACACAAGACACGACUACAAGAAUGGCCCGUGGUCAUUACAAGGCAUGUGAAGCUCUCUUGUCUUAUACACAUCAUCAAGCAGUCUUCUUCACCUGAAACAAACACAUGUAGAAUGAGAACAUGUUAAAUGACAAGAAUUUUUAAUUUAUUAACAAGAGAAAACAUCACGAGAACUAGAAACAGAGAUAAAAACAUUAGCAAGAACAAGAACCCGACAAAGAUAAAACUUAACAAGAAAACAUAACAUUAACCGUACCAAGACCUACUUAGACUAAUCAGUCAUUAACUCGGUAAUGAGCUUCUUUUUAGAGCUUCUUCGUAAUCUUGAAGCGGAUCUUGUUUAGCAAUGAGACUGUCAAGCAACUUCAUCUUUGACAGUCUUUCCUUCAUAACCGAAUCCUGCAUCUUUAUGCUCCACAUUGUCUGAAACUGUGAGAGGUCCUUCCCCUCACCCAUGCGUUUCUUACCACUGGCUUUUGCAGACUUAACACCCUGGGGACGGUUACUUCCCUCAUCAUCUAUAACACUGGGGACAGAGCUUGCUGACUGUGAACCUUCGUCACACUUCCUCUUCUUGGAGCUGCCAUCAUUUUUGGCCGUGUAAAGGGCACACCACUUCUGGUCAUUUCUCAACUCCUUCCAAGCAUGUUCAAGGGUGAACUUCUUGUUAUGGUUGGUGAAGAAGAUUUUGUGGGCAAGUUUGAGAACAUCAUUCUCAUUUUUCCCACUUCUUUUCUCUCUGGUUGCGGCCUCAUAUGCUCCAGCAAACUUGGACACUAAGUCAUUGAUCUUCUGCCACCUCUGCUUGCAGUGAGAUGGCUCUCUUUUUUCACAGCCACCAACCUUAGGACUAGCCUCAAAAUAUGCUGCUACUCUCUUCCAGAAAGCUACUGACCUUUGCUCAUUCCCGACAAGUGGAUCUUUGCUCGUGUUUAACCACGAGCUGAUCAACACUACAUCAUCGGUUGGACUCCAAGUCCUUCGUUCCUUACGCUCUGAAGGAGUCUUGUGUUCGAAGUUUCUACCCUCAGUAGCUUGAGUGCUAAGAAAAGGAAUAGAAGGAGAUUCUACACCUACGGAAGUAUCUUGUUGACUUUGAAGAAGAUCAACAAAAUUUAGAUUCAUAUACGGAUUAGAAUCCAUAUUUGAAAAUGUCUACGAAGAGAAGAAGGGGCCUGUUUGAUAUAUGGAAGAGAACAAGUUCUCUGAUUUAUAGCAGAGAUAGACACGAAGGCAUCACUUCUAACAAGUUCUCGAGUAGACAUUUAUCUAUAAACCACAUCAUUAAUCACUUCUAUUUAUAACUCAUACAACACCUCAAUUUAUGACCAUCCACAACGAGACUAACCAAAGCUUUUUUCAAUUCAAUAUAGCAAAGAGACCAUCACUUCUAUUAAAUACCAACACCAAAAUGACUUGACAUUUAUCUAUUAACCACAUCAUUCAUUACUCUCGGUUUAAUUCAUCACAGAAGUUAAUUCGAAUUGUUACAGAAGCUAAAUCAAUGCAUUUCAAAGAGUAACAGAAGCAAUAAUCAAUUCAUUUCAUUUCAUUAACAGAAGCUAAAUCAAUUAUGAUCGGUUAACAUAAGCUAAAUCAAUUAACAGAAGCUAAAUCAAUUCAUUCACUAACCUGUAUACACGGAUGGACGUUGAAGAUGAACCUCCCUCAUGUUUCUUUCCAUAGAACAAGUCCAUCUCCUUCGCCAAAGACAAACAAAAAGAAUGAAUCAACCAGAAACCAACCAAACCGACCUGACUGCUAGCUAACUCAUUCAUCACAAAAGCUAUAUCUAUUCAUUUCUAUCUAACCAUAAUCUUACACAGUCAUUAAUUAGCCUCGAUUCAAUUCAUCAUAGUACGUAAAUCUAUUCAUUGCAGUUCAGUUCAAAGCAGAUGAAAUAGUAAAAGAAUCACCAGUAAAUUGAUCGAAAUAAUUCAACAAACUAAUCAAUCUAGAUACAGAACCGAACACAAAAAAAUUCCCAAUUGAUCGAACACAAGUAAUUAAUCAAUCUACAGAACCGAACACAAAAACAAAAUCAAUCUACAGACAGAAAAUGCAAAAUCUGAGACAUGCAUGAUUGAAAAACAACAAAUAGAAGCUUAACCUUUGGAUUGAGGAGAGGAUGGAGACGCGAGCGCCUUCUGGAGAGAGAGAGAGAGAGUGAGCCCAACGGAGAGGUCCGUCGAGGAGACCCACAGAGAGGGUGAGAAUCACGGAGGAGAGCCAUGGAGACAGACGUCGCGAUCUCGUCGAGGAGCAACGGAGAGAAAGAUAAUCGCCGAUUUCGUCGCCACGAAGAGGGUGAGAAUCACGGAGGAGAGCCAUGGAGACAGACAUCGCGAUCUCGUCGACGAGCAACAUAGAGAGAGAGAAUCGCCGAUUUCAUCGCCACAGAGAGAAAGAGCUUUCGAGAGAGAGAGAGAGAAAAGACGAAACGAAGAAGAAACAAACCUCUCCUCUCUCCUCUCAAACGCCUACACGUGUCAAUAGGAGCCGACUCUUCUUUAGCCAAAUUAAGACACGGUUCUAGUUUAAUUAUGUGUUUUUCCUUUUUUUUUAAACCCAAAUUAGCUUAAGAGCCAGGUUAAGACCCCCCGAUAUUAAUGCUCUAACAUUUGACUUAAACAGCUCCUUCUUAUUCACUACUCUCUUUUUCGUACUUUUUAUUCUGGUAAAAGCAUCUCCAACUCAUUCUAUUCUUUGGUUUAAAAUAGUUAAAAAUGUUUUAUCCUGUAUUUUAAGACAAUCUUCAAUACAACUAUAUUUUUCCUCUAUAACAAAAUUACUCUAUAAUAAAGACUAAUAUAUAAAUGUUUAGAAAAAAAUAGAAUAGUAUUGGAGAUGGUCUAAUAAUGUAAAAUAUGAAUUUACUAUAUAAAUUGAGUAAUCCAUUUAUUUCUGUUAAUCACUCUACUUUCCCUCUAAAAUAUAUUAUCAUUAGAAUAGAACUAAUUCUAUUAUAGAAUUAUUCUAUUUUUUUUUUUUUAAAUGAACCAUUGUUGGUGAUCUAAGGAUCAUUAUGAUUAAGGUUUGAUUGUAUAAUGCAUGUAAUUUAUCUAAAUACGUAACAAAAGAUUUUACCAAUGGUCCAACAUGAGAAAAGAUUGGGAAAUUUCCAAAUGUUUUUUUGAUCAACAAUUUUGGUAAAAGGGUAAGGGUAUUUUCCUUUUUAUACAAAGCAAAUGGUGUGACAUCAUGGAAUGGUAUAUUCCAGCGAGAAAAUAGCUCUACAUGUCAGCCACGGAUGAUGAUGAUCCCAAUCCAAUCUUGAAUGAGAAUUUGAUGCAUGUUAACUCCUUGCGCCCGCCAUCAAGCAUCUUCAUCGUAAGUGAGUAUUUACCCUAUGAGAAGUAACAUGAUUAGAUUGCUCCAUAAAUGCAGAAUCCAACCAACAAUUUCUGCUAUGGAAAAUAUAAUAAACUAACGAUCAUAUUAAGCAAUCUUGGCAACUACUAGGCCAUUUGUUAUGUUUGCUAUAGGAUAACAUAAAAUUCAAAUCAGCCUAAUGAAUCAGCCUGGUAGAGUAUAUCCCACAAAUCCAGGGGCAGAUCUGGGCACAGCCCAUCAAAAGAUCUAAGCAAAAAGAGAUAAAGAACACUCAAUAAACUUACAGGAGGAGUAUAACCGGGUAGAACUUGCGAGUGCGCUACUAAGAAAUCUCCAACUGCCACUGGACAACUUGUCUCAUCACAAAGAUCAUGCGUCUCAGAAUGAAUAUGCCACCCAAAGUAUGACACUUCGAUCACCAGCUUUCCUCGUGAGAUCACAUUAUCUUCAUAUUACACAAAUCCAAAAAAAAAAAAACACACACCACAAACUCCAUUUAAUUCUAUCAAACUUCUUGAAGAACAAUUAGAAAACAAGAACAAUAACGAUCGAUCUUAGAACAUAACAAGUUCAAUUUUGCAACACUUAAAAAACACCUAUAGACACUUUUACAGAACAAAACAUCACAACAAACAAAGAUCUUUGCGUUAUAUGUAAUGAAUGUGUGUACUUGUGUUAGCAGAGAUGCUGAAAGUGGCUGGCUGGCCAGUAACUAUAGGAUCAGGCGAUAUAUCAACUCCAUGGACCUUUACUUGAUACUCUUCGUUAUUAUCUGCAACCAAACACAUACCAAAUCAGAUCAAGAUUCUGGGUUUCUCUCCAAACUUAAAUCAUCAAAGACAUUGACUUUGAACUGAAACUAAGAUUCAAACAUCAAAACCCAUCUAAAGAACAUCACCAAACCUCAACGCAUCACGAACCCAGAAUCAAAAGUCAUCGACUUUGGCCACAACUGGAUCAAAAACACUAUAAACAAGACGAAACUCAGUUGAAUUCAAAGGGACCAAACAUACCACAGUAACUGACAUCGGUGGCUCUAACAAUCGUCGAGACGAAGAGAAGACAAGAGAGAAUAGCGAGAGCAAAUCUCGACAUGAUUGAUAGAUUCUCGGAGCAGAAGAAGAAGAAGAAGAAUAUUUUUUUUUUCAGGAGUUUGAGAUGAUGAUUAGAGAGGACAAAGGAGACUAAAAACAAGCAAAGAGACAGAACAUACAUGCUUGAAUCGGGAUUCUCGUUUCACAAGGAAUGUCUGAUAGAUCUUGACCGUUCGUUUAGGUGGGUCCUUGAUUCUUGAAAAUUGACGGUUUGGAUUUUGUAGAAUGUGUGGUUAACCGCAGAGGAUUUUGGCAGUGAACAAACCGUUAGGUGGGAUUUUUGUGUAUAAUUUCAAUUUGUGGUCAUCACUUGGCAACAAAAAAUAGUUGGAAUUUGCCAGCUCAGAUUUGACGUUUUUUAAUAAUACAGCUCAGAAUUGACUACUACUAUUAUUUUGGAAACAAAUAGAAUAAUUUAUUAGUUCAAUGAAUCUUUCUCUUCCCAACAUGAAAUCUAUUUAUAAAUAAAACACUUCUUCCUAAAUACUCUCUCGUUAUAUAUAUUAAAAAAAACACAUUAAAUUAUGAUAAUAAAUAUAUAAUUUUCUGUAAUUUUCAAUAAUUUCUAACCAAUAGUAAUUCAAUAAAAUUAAUUAAUACUCUCUCAUUUCACAAAGAUAGAUUUUUUAAUAUGUUUACACAUAUUAAGAAAACACAUUAAAUUACGAUAAUAAAUAUAUAAUUUUCUGUAAUUUUCAAUUUUCAAUAAUUUCUAACCAAUAGUAAUUCAAUAAAAUUAAUUAAUUUUCUUAAAGUUUACAACUUUUUAAUAAAAAUAAAAAAAUACAUUUUUGUGAAACAAACUUUUUUUCUAAAACAUCCAUCUUAAUAAAAUGGAAGGAGUAUAAAUUAAUUUUAGAGAUUUUAUCACCUUUUUAGUACUCCCUCCGUUUCGUAUUAUUUGUCGUUUUAGAAUUAAAAUUUUGUUUCAUUUUAAGUGUCGUUUUAUGUUUUCAAUGCAAAAUUUAAUAACAAUAUUCUCCAUUUUAUUUUUUUAUUGGUUGAAAUAUGGUUAGAUAUAUAGGUAAUGAUGUUUUUAUUUUGGAAAUAUGCAAAAUUAAAAGUUUUCUUAAUCUGUGUGCAUAAACCUAAAACGACAAAUAAAUUAAAACGGAGGGAGUAUUAUUUAUCUAAAUCAUUAUUGCGAGAUGAUAUGACACCUAAUGGUGGUCAUUUUUGUUAAAAUAUGAUAAAUUAUUUUCCAUUUAUUAUAUUUAAAUUAAAAUUAAUGUCAAACUUAUAUAUUGUUUAAUGAGAAAUUUCCAAUGAUAACUGUUUUUAAUUUUUUGUCACAAAAAAUAAUUUUCAAUAAAAAAAUGACCAAAAUAAAUUUUAUUAAAAAGUAAAAAUGCAUUUAUACCAUAGCAUUAAAUAAUCUAUACUUAAGUUUAGAGUUAAGGGGUGGAUUUUGAAGAUAUAAUUUCAAAAUUUUAAAAUAAAAAGGGUUAUUUUGUUCAUUUUCUUUAUUAAAAGCUAUUUUGUGACAAAACUUUUUUUUUUUAAUUAUUUGAGAGAAUUGCCCUAUAUGUAUUCUAUUUUAUUUUUUAUUUUUCUAGAAUUUAUGAAAAAAAAUGGUAAAUAGAGAAUUGCCCUAUAUGUAUUCUAUUUUAUUUUUUAUUUUUCUAGAAUUUAUGAAAAAAAAUUGUUUCUCUGAAGAUUUUGUGAAGGAUAGAAUCGGCCAAAGUUCUUAUCUUAUUUAUCUAUUCAAUUUUUAGUAUCAUUUUUUUCUUCAUUUUGUUUUUUUUUUUUUUCUGUAAAAAUAUAGUUUAUUAUACAUUAAACAUUAUUUUUAGGCCCUCUUGGCUCAGGCCCAUAAGCUAAAAGGCUUAUUUGAUAAAUCACACUGACAACAAUUCGGAGCAAGAAGUUUCAAAGGAGCUUCUUUUUUUUUUUGGGUCCUUUUGACAGAUGGCUAGAUUCCUUCUCCUCUGUUUCCUCUUCGCGGCGGCGCUGACGUCAUCGUCGACGGAAGCCGGCGACGACAAUAGAGUCUACUCUCCUUGCUCAGAUUCAACAGUCGCGGUAGGCGACGGAUUCACUUUCGGCAUUGCCUUCGCGGCGAGAGCUUCUUUCUUUGGCACCAAUCGUUCCGUUCAGUACUCUCCCUGCGAUCGUCGCCGCCUCUCCCUCAACGGUAACUCUGAGCUCGCCGUGUUCAGACCUAAAGUCGAUGAGAUCACACUUCUCACCAUCAAUACCUCCUCGAGCUCCUCUAGUUUCAGCGCGGUUCGUUCUCAAUCUCUGAUCUAUCGUUGGGGGGGGGGGGGGGGGUUNNNNNNNNNNNNNNNNNNNNNNNNNNNNNNNNNNNNNNNNNNNNNGGGGGGGAGUUUCAGUUGGAUCUGAAUUUCUCAGACCAGAUUAGUUUAGUUUCUUGACUUGUCGGAAUCUCAGGCUUAGAAAGUUGGCGACUUUGCUCUGUUGACAAGUUUGGUAGUUGUCUUUGAUGCUAAGCUAAUUGUCAGACAUCUCUUGUAUCAAUGUCCUAAUGUGUAGAAAAGGUUUUGCAAGGUCUUGUUUUCAUUCUGCAUUUUUUUUGUUUCAGUUAGAUUAGAAGUUGAUAAUCAGCUGAUACCCCGGCUUCUAAAGAAUUAGGUGAUAAGCAGGUUAACUUAUGUUGUGUAUGUCAUUAGAGUACUAGUGUAGAUAUUACUGGCAUAAGUUGAUUUUUGUAAGCUUCAUUGCCAAACAUGAUAUGAGAUCACUAAAAUUAUUACUUUUGCUUAAAAGUUGAGGUAUGAUACUUUGUGAUUCCAGGAUUCAUCAAAGGGAUACAUGGUAGCAUUCGCUGGUUCAAAAUACGCUGCAAGAUCAGUUCCAAUUAUGGUUGCAGACAAUGAUCACGUCGUGACAAGCUUCACCCUAGUAAUUGAAUAAGCUCAUAUCAGUCUACAUUUUCAUCUUAUUGAAACUUCUACCUCUAUUAUCAUCACAUGUGUUAAUCUCUAUUUUGUGCUAUUUAUCUUCCAGGUUCUUGAGUUUCAGAAAGGCAGGCUUGAGAACUUGUUCUGGAAGAAAGACGGAUGCUCCAAAUGUUCUGGAAAUGCCAAGUUCGUGUGUCUCAACAAAGAAGAAUGCGCGAUUAAGAGACAAAGCUGCAAGAACCAAGGAGGGCAAGUAGAUUGCAGCUUGGGGAUCCAAUUAGCGUUCUCCGGCACGGAUAAGCACUACACCGCGUUGAACUCGUGGUACGAGGUUGCGAAUCUGAAGCAGUACUCGCUUUAUGGCCUAUACUCUAAUCUAAAGGGUUCACUAAGCAGCCAAUUCAAAAACUUCUUCUGAUGAGUUUCUUUCUCCUCAUGUGUGUUUACUUCUUUUGUAAGUUUGUAUUAUUACCCGGUCUCUUGGUUAUGCUAUAUUUUUACUGUAUUUUAUUACAUGGCUUGUAACUUUUUCAUGAAUGAAGAUUUACGCACAGCUUCUAAAAGAUAAUGAUUAAGAGAUCAUUUGGUUCAAAAUGCACAUAUACCUCAGCCAAACACAAGAAACCCAAAAUCACAUAAAGUGCACCAAAAUAAUAGCAACAUAGAUAGAUAUACAAAGGAAAUAUUCUACUGGUUUGAUUAAAAAGGUUUCAAAGAAAGAAUAGAUUUGCAAAUUACGAAACUCACUUCAACGCAAUAGAAGACGCCUUGCCUGAGGAGGAUUUGGUGGUGACCCUUGACCUGAAGUUGGCUGACCUCCACCACCACCGCCACCACCACCUCCGCUGUUCCAUGGUUUAACGACAGCAAGAACCACAACAACUAUGAUAAUGAUGAGAAUGAGAAUAGCGAUACAUGUCCAUUUACGGGUGUUCUUCUGGUAAACCCGAGCGGUUUGCAGCUGCUCAGUUCCACCUCGGAUAAAGGAGCUAGCUCGGCCCACGUGGCUCUCGAUGUCGUCGAUCUGAGCUCCCUGGUGCUCGACCAGCACCGCCAUGUCGAGAAACACUUGGUGAAGCUCCCUGAGAUUCUUCUCAAUGUCCUUAACCGCGUCAUGCCUUUCUUGGAUCUCGUUGAUGGUGUCUAAGACACGUCCUCUUCCUUGUUCUUGUAUUGCUUUCUGCAAGAAUCUCUCACUUUCUCCUGCAAUAAAACAGUUCCCAAUGUUACACACCACUCACCUAAGAGUAUGCCUAGUUUCUGAUCUCAAGCUUCUUUUCAAAUCCAGGUGUAAGCAUAGACAAGCAGAUUUUAACAUAACCAAACCGAAUUGGUUCAGAUUUGGUUUUAAGUUUGGUUCAAUACGACAGUUAAAAAAUCGGUUAUUGGUUGGAUUGGUAAUCAGUUAAUUCGGUUUUUAAAAAGACAAAAUAAAAGCCAAAUAAUAUGGAUUUUAACCAUCUUCAAAAUCGAACUAACCGAAAGAACCAAAAUUAGUCAAGUUUUUCAUCAAUUUAAACCGAAAAUCUAACGGGAACUUUACUUAAUUUUGGCAUAAUUUUCAUAAACCGAAUUAACUGAAUUUAUUUUUCGGUUCAAUUUGGUACAAUUUUCAGCGAAUUAAGCUUAUUUAAAAACCAAAUUAACCGAACCGAACCUGUAGGUCUAGCUAGGCAUCCAAACUCGGAGAGCACUGAACUACACAAUCUCAGGUGAAAACGAUUCAACUAACCUGUAGAAAUCAACCGAUCCAAAGUCCUCUCAUCCGGAUUCUCGCCGGUGACGGUGAAGUACCUCCUCUGCACAGUAUCUCUAUACUCAGACGAGAUCAGCUCCCUCAAGCGGUUGAAACUAUCCAUAGAGUCCUUCAGCUUCUUCCUCAAACCAUUAAGGACGGAAGUCCUUGUACGAUCCGACGAAGAUCCAGGUCCACAGCCAGGGAGGCUCCGAUUAGCCGCGUUGGAGCGAUCGAGCGCCUCGAGUUUCACCUUGAUCAUCUUCGCUUUCUUCAGAGCCACUCCGACGUCAGCGUCCAUCUUGGAGCGGAGAUCCUUGACGGCUUCGGCAUUGUGAAGCGUCUUGCUGUGCUCGUGAGAGGAUCGGAGCGUGUCGUUGAGCCGAUCUAGCUCCUUUAGCUCCUCUUUGACGGAUUCGACGUCUUCGAAGAACUUGUCGAGGUUAACUCCCGCCGGAUGCGUCAUCUGGAUUCCUCCUCCGCCGCCGCCGGCGUCUCCGCUGCUGCUGCGGAAGCGAGAGAAUGAGCUGGAAAACAGAUCGUUCAUCGAGAAUCAAAAAUCUAGAGAGUCUCAGAUCGGAUUCAAUCAACGGAUAGACUUAAUAAGGAAGGAAGAAAGUCGUACUGAUUCAAACCACACGGUUUGGUGAACGACGGAAGAAGGUAGAGAGAGAGAGAGAGAGGAAAAGUCCAAAAUUUAAUUAUUUUCUUAUAAUAUGUUUUUGCGGAAAUGUCAAAAGAGGAGGGAGAAAGUCAAGAAGGAGGACUUGGUGAUUGACUUGGAAGCUUCGUAGUGAUGGCGGAGAAGGAAAGGUGAUAGUGAAAGCGUGUAGCGUGCAAAUAUGGUAAGCAUAUAAAACCGGAGCGAAAAGAUUAAUUGUCAUUGUUGGGCCAGAAGUGAGGCCCAAAUAAUCAGGAAUUCAAAUAGGCCUAGGUUCAUUUAUGUCCUUCAGCGCUUAGAAAUUUAAAAUAUUUAUUUUAUAUAUUAUUAGUUAGAAUCUUCAAAUAUUUGUCCGAGUUUGGUUUUACAUCCUUUCGACGGCAAAGAUACCACCCCACUGGAGACGAUUCAACUGGCUAAAUCUGAGGCGGAAAGCUCACUCAAGUAAUAGAAAAACCACAAGAUGAAGACGCUGAAAACGAGCACCGCGCAACCCCUCUCCCAAGAACCUGCCCGAUAUGCUUGACGGACGCCUCCUGGCACAAAGACGACACUUUGUUCGGUGGAGGUAUGGUCUUGAUGACCGAGGAUGGGACAACGACUUAUGGUUCAUUCGCUAGUAACCAAUUCGAUUCCUUCUGAAUUAAUUAUAUAUGGUGUUUGCCGUCAAAAAAAAUUGAUGGAUCCCUAAAUAAAAUGAGGUAUAAACUUUGUGUGUAUAGUGAUACGCCCUAAAUAUGGAAAGGAUCACUCAGCCGGACUAAGGGAAUAUGAACUCGCCAAAAGGGAGAACUGGUGGAUUCAAUGGUGACACAAAAGGGGCGGAAAGUCUCUUGAUACUAUCAGACUUCAGUUGUUGCUUGAUAUGAUGCACAAGUCCAACAAAAGAAGAGUUUCUAAACGUUGAUUGAUAUGACGCACAAGUCCAAUGAAAUAAAGAAUGUUUACUUGGAAGAAACUCAACAAGAAACAAGAAGUGUUCUACAAAGAACAAAGAGAUAAACUCAUAAAAAAAAAAAAUCAUUGUCUUAUUUCGUGGCUCUUAGCCUUAUUUAUAGGAUUACAAAUUGCAGACAUCCAAAGAAAAAUGUGUUAAAAAUAAAGACAUUGAAUAUAGAAACAAAGACUUGACUAAAUAAAGUCUUUGACUGAAACUUGGGCUGUCUCUUGAUAUAACCACGACCUUGACUUGGUUCAGUGAAGAAUAUACUCCUGUAAUGGGCCAAGACAUGUCUCUUUAAUGCCUGGUCGAAAUCUUUCUCUUUUCCUUUGCCAAUUUUUAUCGGUUUCUCCAUUUGACCCAAACAAGUCCGUUUUUGAAUCUUUUAAAAAACCAUCAAACCCAAGGCUUUCUUGGACAUUUAGAACAUGAAUAAUCACCUUUGGCAUGAUUGAAUUGGUCGUUGAUUCAUCAGAAAGAAGGUUAGCCUUUUCCAGCUUCUCGGAUGGUCUGAAUUCGCGAGAACUAAAGAUCACAUGAUUUGUAAAUGGCAUAACUGUCACAUAUGAACUCCGUUUGAUCUGAUUCUUCUUUGAGGAGCUCCGUAAUUGAGUUGAGAACAUUCUACAAGUGAUUUCAUGCGUAUAAGCCUUGUGAUUUGGAAGAUAUGAGUCAAACAAUGAACAUAUAUCUUUACAACAUCCAAAGAUCAAGCCAUGCAUGUCUGUUUUUUCCGGUGCGCUACCCAAGGGCGCAUCAUAUAGGGUACUAUAUGAAAGUUUCGAUGGAAAAAUAGAUGUGUUCUUCUUUCAAACUCUUUAAACCAAUUCAUAAUACUCUUCUCGCUGCGGUAUGUCACUAUUCUUAACUUCUUGUUUGGACUAAUCGGUAGAUCAAACUAAAAAAGGUUUUUAUUUGACAAUAGUAGCUUAUUUGUUUAGCUAACCACCAAUUCAGCCACUGUAAUAUAGGCUUGGGCGUUUUACCCGGAUCCAAAGACUGGAACCGACCCGAAAAUACAAGUUCGGAUCUGGGUCCAGGUCCAUGCUGAAGUAUCUGUUGGAUCUCUUUUUUUUUUGGAUUCACGGGUCUCGGUUCGGGUCUGUGUUCUACCCAAGACCCGAUCGGGUAUCUGAAGUACCCGAAAUUUAUUGUAUAUAUUAGGUAUAUUUGGGUAUUUGGGUAUAUUUUUGAUAUUUCAGAUAUUUUUUUAAGUUUUGGAUCUGGAUUUUCGGGUAUAAUUUCAGAUUGCAGGUAAAAUUUUAGAUUUUCAAAAAAUAUAAUUCGAGUAUUCGGGUAAAAUUUUGGGUCUGUUUUGAAUUUUCUGGUCUGAUUUUAGGUAGAUCUUCGGCAUUUUUACGAUUCUUUGGGUAUUUAUGGAAUUUUUGGGUAUUUUUUUAGUUUUUGGAUUCAAUUUAGGUAUUUCGGGCCUUAAAUAUCCGAACCGACCCAAACCAAGAAUAUACCCCAAAAUUAAAAGUAUUUUAUGGAUAUUGAAAUUAUAGAUCCGAACCGACCCGGACCCGGUAAAAUCCGACCCAAAACCGACCUGAAAAUUAUAUGUACCUCUACGAAUUCAAAUUUUCAAGAUCCAAAAGACAAGGAUCCGACAAGACCCGAUUCGAUGACCCGGAUGUUCGGCCUACUAUGAUCUACAACUCAUUAGUUAUUGUUUGAAAGUACUUUUUAUAUUUGUUUGUUAGUUGAAAUUGUCAUUAUCUUUUUAGUACUUUAUCAACUUAAAAUAAAACCCACAAAGAACCCUAAUACAACGACGACUAUCGUAAGAUGUUUUAAAAGUAUACUAGAUUUUGACCCGCACUUUAAAAGCGCGAGAUUUGUUAUUAUGUAAAAUUUAAAAGUUAUAAAUAUUUUUUACGGCCAAAUAAAUUUACAGAUGUUUUAUUAAUUAUGGUCUAAAACAAACAAAUAAUAGUUUGUUAAAAUAACUGAAAUGAGCUAAUUAUAUGAGUUGUCGAUUUUAUAAUAAUUCUUAACGAUAUGUGUUAUUAAUUAUGAAUUAUCCCUCAGAUACCUAUAUUGAACAUAAAAGUAUUAAUAUUCCACGUUAGUUAAUAUAUAUCUAUAUUAUACUUCUAAAUUCUAAUAAUAUUUCAUUUUAUAGUACCUAAUUUAAAAUUGUAGUUACAUGUCAAAUUUUAAAAUGCAGAACAAUUUGAGUUUAGGUUGAUUUGGUGAUGUCUACAUUUUUACGCAAGUUUCAGAAUUGUAGGCGAUGACCAUAAAUUCAAUAUAUUGAGAAUAUUCUUGAGCACAAAAUAAGGAAGUAAAAUUUUUCUUGUUAAAUAAGUUUAAGUCUUUCUAAAAAUAUGGUACAUCUUAUACAAUAAAGUAGACAAUAGUCUCUCCUUAGAGUGCCACAUCAUAAGGUUGAAGGGUGCAAAUUAGGACAGGUGUUUUCUCCAAUUUCUUCAUCUCACCAAAAUUUUCGUACCAAAUCUAUGGGACAGUUACUGGGUCUAAUGUUUGAAUGUUUUGUAUAGUUAGGCCCAUAUGUAUUUAGGGUUACAUUAUUAUCCUGCUUAAGUUUACAAAGCAUCGACGUUUUCACCAUACAGCUAGAAUUCCGAUCGACACUAUGUAACAUCUGCCAUUUACAUUUUUUUGGUGUUUAAAUCCUAGCAUUUAUGUCACUUAUACCACCCUCCCACUCUCUGGCUUUUAAUGGAGCUUAUCAUAUUCUAAGAUAACCGCUGGAAGCUCCAUCUAUAAAUGUGUUUGCUCCCGACGAUGAACAGCAUUAAAUCUGCAAAAACUAAAAGCACGAUCCCUGCAAAGCAUCAACUCAACAAUGGAGAAAUCCUCCAUCAUGCUCGCCGAUUUGAAAGCUUACCGGUUCUGGCGGUGGUGAGAUUCAACACCGGCACAUUCCUCACACCACCGCGACAAGAGCAAUUCAUAAGCUGCAUCUGGUAUUUGGUUGUACUUGUUUCCUUCAUCAUUUGUCGGUUAAGUGAAUUAUAGCUUGAGGAGUAGCAAAGAUGUUGCAAGUCUAAAAAGUGAAAUACAUUCUGCUAGAAUGUUUGUAAUAGAAUCAAUAAUUUUGACUCUUCAGGAUGUUUUUUUGUUUGUUUGUUUCUUAAACAGGGAACUGCAGCGGAGGAUCGUUCCAAACAGAAGCUGAUCUCACAUAACGAUUCAUCAGGUUUUGUUUGUUUGGUCUCUUUUUAGAUUGUUUAGUCGAGGAUAGGUUUGCUAACGUGAUUUUAUUGCAUCUAUCAUCCUAUUUUCUCUUAUAGAUACAAUGUUUUUGUGUGUGUCUUCUUUCAGGUUGCAGAGUUUUAGGUCCCCAUCAGUGUUAAAACAACACAACAAAACAAGUUUAGCAAGUUCUAUGUUAGGUGACCGACUCCACCGUCACCAUCCUGUUUCAAUGAGAUGACUAACUUUGUUUGAAAUAACUGUUCUUAGUGUUCAUUUUCUUCUUCUUAUUUUGAUUUAAGGGAACUUCAGUAAUCAUGAGGAAGAUGAUAGAGACGGCUUUUCCUUUAUUCUUUUUAGACUGAGAAUGCAUAGAAGAAGAAAAUGCAACCAUUGGCACAAAAGAAACUGGACUUUGAAAAGUUAUGUGCGGCUGGGGUCAGCGUUUACCAACUGGAGGCUCUUGAAGAAUGGGAACAGAUUGCAACUUCAGCAUUUGAGAACUUCGAGCAAGAAGGGCAUAGAAUCAUAUCCGUCCAAGAACUAGCCGGGGUAUGGUCCUAUAUUCAACCUUGUAUGUGAUUGAGUAAGCAUCAUCUAUUUUGUAAGAUCUAAAACAUAUUUAAUGAUUGGGGCGUGGUAUAAAGCAGGAGAUGACUCUGGCACCAAAUGCAUAUCCUCUGCUCAAGGAUUGGAUCUGGAGUUUGGAUGGAAAGCUUAGUUUCUUGGGCUACGCUAAGUUCUUGCAUGGUGUGAUCGUACGAAGCUCGAGCUCAAGACCUAGGUGACACAUCGGCAUGGGAAAAUUCUUCUACGUGUGAGUCAAUUCUUGAUAAGUAUCGAAAACGACUUAGUCGUCAUCAAGAUAUUGGGUUUAAAUGUACAACAUAUACUGGAAGAAAAAAAAAUAUAUAUAAUGGAAAUGGAAGCUAGGUGCGUCAUUUGUAAAUAAUUCUUUGAGCAUUUUGUCUUCAGAAGAACCAAACCCCUAAAAGAAAAAGAAACAAACAGGAAAAAUAUAUCAUACAUGAGAUGACUAACUUUGUUUGAAAUAACUGUUAGAUUUAUUAUUAUAAAUAUGCAAAAACUCUUUCAGUCUCCACUACUGCACUGUAACAAAAAAACGAUUCAAGGAAACAAUAGUGGCUCAUAUAUAAUUGUGGCUUAAAGCAAAAUAAAAAACUGUGGUCUUAAAUAUUUUGAUAAAAAUUUAGAAUUCCAUGUAAUUAUAGUUCUACUAUUAUUAUAUUUUACUUUAGAAAAACUCAAAAUAUUUUUAAAUUUUUGCUUUCUUUUUUGGUCAUUUUUUUGAAAUAUGUUUAGAACUAUUUAUGUCAUAUUUUUUGUGGUUAACCAAAUAAAUAAAAUAGUAAAAUGUCACUAUCAAUAGUAUGUAAUAAACAAUUAUAAUAAAUUAAAAGAUAAAAACCAAUUAAAAAAAGAUAAAUUGUUGAUCUAAGUUUUUUUUUAAAAGUGAGACACUCAAGGUUUCCAUAAUACUACCCUAGAAUAACUUUGAAACUGUAGAUAAUUAAAUAAGCCCAAUGCUUUAGAUGCUUUGAAGAAGGACCGAGUAUAUAGGGAAAAAAAAUUGUGGUCUUAAUUAUUUUGAUAAAAAUUUAGAAUUCCAUGUAAUUAGAGGUGAGCGUUCGAGUACCCAUUCAGAUUCGGUUCGGAUCUAUUCGGGUUUCGGGUGUUCGGGUUCAAAGAUUUCAACCCCAUUCAGAUAUUUCUAAAUUUCGGUUCGAGUUCGUUUCGGAUCUUCGCGGGUUCGGUUCAGGUUCGGAUAAUCCAUUUAAAUUAUUUUAUAAAAUUUUAAAUUUAUUAUAUACUUAAAAUUUCUUAAAAUCUAUAAACAAAAUUAUAUAUUACAUAUAAAUUUGAAUAUAUGUCAAAAUACAUAAAAUUAACAUAUAAAUUGGUUUGAUUUGAAUAUUUGGAUAGUCUUUCAAGUAUUUGUAGUGUUUUGAAUAUAUUUUAGCUAUUUUACACAUUUAAUUUUGAUUAUUUGUGUAUAUUUUCAAGUAUUUAGGAAAACUUAAAAGUAUUUUAAAUAUUUUGGAUGUCUUUAAUACAUAUUAAAUCUAAAGAUAAGUAACAUAUUUAGGUAUUUAAAUCUAUUUCGGAUACAUUCGGGUACCCAAAAUACUUUGGACCGGAUUGGGUUCGGUUUCGGUUCUUUAAAUAUCAAAAUUUUGAAUCCGUUCGGAUAUUUAAUCAAUUUCGGUUCAAGUUCGAUAUUACUUUUUUGGAUCGGGUUCGGUUCAAUUUUCCGGAUCCAGGUUUUUUGUCCAGUUCUACAUGUAAUUAUAGUUCUACUAUUGUUAUAUUUUGUUUAGAAAAACUCAAAAUAAACUUUUAAAAUUUUGCUUUCUUUUUUUGGUCAAAUUUUUCAAAUAUGCUUAGAACUAUUUAUGUCAUGCUUUUUUUUGUGGUUAACAAAAUAAAAUAAAAUUGUAAAAUGUCACUAUCAAUAGUAUGUAAUAAACAAUUAGAUCAAAUUAAAAAGAUAAAAACCAAUUAAAGAAAAGAUUAAUUGUUGAUCUAAGUUUUUUUUUUUUUAAAGUGAGACACUCAAGAUUUCUAUAAUACUACACUAGAAUAACUUUGGAACUGUAGAUAAUUAAAUAAGCCCAAUGCUUUAGAUGCCUUGAAGAAAGACCGAGCAUGUAUGGAACCCUCACCUGUCUUGUCAAAUCCACUCCGUCUGUAAAAAAAAAAACCAACAACAACCUAUUGGUGGACUAUCUAUUAGCAUCAGUAUCUAUUUGCAUGGACACGGAAACUACAUGAAAUCAAUGUCGAAAGACAUCAAUAAAGUCAAUGCACUGAGCGUAUGUGAAAAUCCUCCAUUGUUGCUUAACAACACUCGCAAGGACAUAUGCCACUGUAACGUAUCUCCCCCAACAAAAUAAAAGAAAAAUGCGACAAUCUUACUAUUACAAACAAAUAAAAUAGAUUAUAUAUUUCAUAUAAAACCUACUCUACAAAAUUUUACAUUUUAUGCUUCAACUAUUAGUCAUUCAAUUUGUGUAUUCAAAAAUUAUAAACAUUAUUUCACUGCUUUGAAAUAAAUUUAUACACCUCGCGUAUGUCAAUAAAAUAGCAAUCCCUCAUAUACAGAACAUACAUCCAAUUGAUAAAUGUAAAGCUGAUCUUCAACAUCGUUGAGACUUCCAUAAUAACGGCUCCACAACUCAAACAAAUAGCUACAACAUCAAUUUAUUUGUUCAAAAAAAUUCUUUACUGAUAUUUUACGCUAAGAAAAACAUCAGGCAAUUUCUAUUCAGGGACGGUCUAUAUUUUUUUCAACAGAGAUCACUAAGAUAUUUUGCUUAUAAUUUAGUAGGCUGAAAAAGAUUUCUUACCAUUAUUAUAUAUAUUUUGUCAUCCUUAGCAUUGUAAUAUAGAACCACUAAAUAUUCAAUCGAUAUACAAUUUUAAUGAAAUAUUAACAGCGUCAUAACUCUUAACAAGUGAUGGACAACAUAGAGAAAGAGAGUGUCACUUAAUACUUCUUAAAUCUGUACAAAUAUUUUUUUGUUCAUAGAAAGUAGAAAUUUCGAAAAAUCACUACCUUUAUUGGUAAAGUUUCCAUUUAACAUAAGAUUUGAUCACUCAUGUGUCUGCGACUUGUCUUAAGUGAGUCUGAACAUUGCUUCAACACUACUACUACUAAAAAGAAUAAAUGACCACAAUUUGAAUUCGACCACCAAUUUAGGAUCCGAAUGUUUACAACCACCCGUUCCGCACCGCAGUUAACAAUAACAAAAAAUCUCUACAUAUAUCAUAUAUCUAUACGUUUUUAUAACUGUUAGAACCGCACCGCAGUUGAACCGCUUGUCCCGCACCGCUGAAACCGCAGUUACUAUUCGGAGCCUUAAUUAUCUAAUACCAAACGUCCAUCCGUAGAUUCACAAAAUUAACACUUAUAUUUUUUUCUUACAAAUAUCAACCAUUAUACUACACAAUUAACAAAUAUCCCGCGCGUAGCACAGGCAAGCCACUAGUAAUAUAUAAUUUUGGAUUAUUAAAUAUUGCUUAAAUGUUAUUGGAUAACAAAAUACAUGACUUUUGAUUGGAUGGAAAUACGGCCGGCAAAUUAAUUUUUAAAAAAAUCUAAAAAAGUAAUAAAUUGCCAUUGUAAAUAAUUCUAAAACUAAGGGCAGAAGAAUCCUAGGAGGGAUUUUGCUUUAAUAGUAGGGGAAAUUACAUGUUUACCAAUUUCAUGCUACAACUUUUCAGUUUUACAAUCACUAAAGGGACAAUUAUGACCUUGUUCUUUAUAUAUACUAGGAAACAAAUCCGCGCAUUCGCGCGGACAGUCAAAAUCCUUUACUAAAAACUAAAUUAUUUAAUAUUCAUAAAUUGUAUAUAUUUAAUAAUUAUAUAUAUAAUACUUUUUUAUUUUUUCAUUUAAAUACUGAAUAUAUUAGCUUAAAAUAAAAAAUUCAACAACAUAAGGAAAAGGAUGUAAAAUGUAUAUAACAAAUUAAAUAUAAAUUGACUUUUGAAUUUAUAGAACAAUAGAUAUACAUUUUUAUUAGUAAUAUCGGUUGAGACAAUGGUAAAGACUGGCUAGACAAGAAGUUCAUCUUCAGUAUUAGGAAUAUCAACCUUUUGUUUAAUCUUUGCGGAUUCUUUAAUCUACGGGACAGCUGUCUCAACACAAAUUUUUUUUUUGAUUCUGUAAUGUAGAAAUUAAAAUUAAUUCCUCUCUUGCGUGUUUACUAUUUCACUGCCAAGGCAUUUAUCGGAGUCAAUCGUAUUCUAUAAAUAUGAUAUUUAUCUAGUAUGAUCAACUGGAUGAAGCAGAGGACAUAUAGUCAUGGACUAAAGCAAGCUAUGAAAAGUAACUGCUUACAGACUACCAAGAUAUAUGAUAUAUGAGAUCGAUGAUAUCGAUGAAGUUUUUUUUUUUUUUUCAAACUUACAACUUUAUUAUAUCGAUGAAGUUUAUUUUCAAAUCUUUCUUUUAAAAGUUUGGGAGCCCUUCAUCUCAACAAGUAUUUUAUAGAGGACUCAGUUUCAGGUCUUGACAUUGGCAUAACAAAAAGGCAUCCUUGUCGCAGCAAAGCCCAUAUACAGUGAUAAAAUAGUAGAUUCACUUUGUAUUUUUCUUACCUAUAAUCGGUAUUUUUAGCAUGUGCAAUCAUCUAAUAAAUGCUACUUGGGUGUCAUCCUUGUCUUGUUGUGCAGUUUCCUAAUGUUCCUCGCCAAGGAUUUGAUUCAGAGUAUAAUUCUUACCAAUAAAUGUAAAUCUCUUAAUUUAGACUUUGAUCUCUAGGCAUUUUCUUGAAUUAGAUGGGGUAUGCCCUUUUUUUUUCUUGACCAAACCAUAUUUUCAUUACUACUUUAAAUCCAAGGUUUAAGGAGCAUACAAAGCUGAUUUAGCAAAAGAAUCAACUUCAAAAAAUCUUUUCACAAAAAUAAACCACUUAAAUAAUACACCAGUUGAAAUACAUAUAAUGUUUUUAAUGUACAUAAAAAUAAAGUAAUAGUUUUAAAUUAAAGAAUUUGAAAAUGUGUCAAAAGGACAAAGGAAAUAUCAUAUGUUGUUUUGGUAACUUAAAACAAAAAGUUCUUUGUGAUUAUACUAACAAUUAAUUAAAUCUAACGCAUGUAACAAAAAUGAGGAUAGUUUAACAUCUCAAUUUAAAAAUACCAUAAAUGAAACAAUUGUUUUAACUUUUGUCAAAUAUUAGGUUACACAAAUCUCUUUUUAUGAUAAGUAAAGUUUAUGUUUUAUCAAAACUAAGAUACAUAAAUAUAAAAAGAAAUUCUAAUGUUUGUAUGUGAUUCUUCAAAAGUCUUCUAUGAUCAUUUAGAUCUUAAAGUAGUUACAAUGGUUAUUUUUAAAAAAUUGUAAUGAUUUUUAUAAAUAGUUAUAAAUCUUCAUCUAAGCAAUUGCAAUGAUUCAUUUAGAUGAUUUUAUCCAUUAAAUCUGCAACAGAACAUUCUAUGUUCUCAGCCUUUUGUUUUGCUUAAAUAUGAUGAUUUUAUUCAAGACCGUUGGAAUUUGAAUAAUAUGGUACUGAAUAAUGUUUAUAUAUCUUUACUUAUCACAUAAUUUGUAUACUAUGGUACUGUAUAUUAGCGACAAUUGUUUGAAAGUAAGAUUCAUAUUUUUCAAUAGCUUUAAUUAAACUAUCUUGAAAAUUUUAUUAUUUUCAAAAUUUUAAGAUAUCUUGUUUGAAAGUAAGAUUCAUAUUUUUCAAUAGCUUUAAACUAUCUUGAAAAUUUUAUUAUUUUCAAAAUUUUAAGAUAUAAUGAAAUUUUUUAUCAAAAUUUUGAUUUGAGAGCGUUUUGAAAAUUGAAGUUAGGAGAAAAUGUUGUACAAAUUGUAAUAUAUAGAGUUGAAAAAUAUUAGUUUAUAAACUCUUCAAGAAAAAAGCAGUUAUAAAAGAAAGAAAAAUAUAAUUUAUAGCCAAAAAAAACAUUAUCUUCAAUAAAAUUAGUGAAGUAAGUUUUAACUUUUUUAAUUUUUGAAAGUAAGUUUUGAUAAAGAGUCACAUUUGUAAAAACCAUUUGCUGGGAUUCUUUGAUUGUGUUUUUUUUUAACACUUAGAAAAACUGAGAAACAGACAACAAGAUACCAGCAGGUACCGUAGAGAUCUAAAGAGAAACAUGAAAGAACUAAGCCAAAAGAAACAAGAUGGCAAUUAAAGGUGCCACUGGCACAUAUCCCCUGAGCCAGCCAAUGGAAUAGAAAAUUAGACACCUGCCUCCUGUUGGAUAGCUUGAUGAAGCCAGCAAGGUCCACCAGCGGGUGACAUAAGAUUGCGUACAGAAGUAUGAGACCACACUAUCUGCAAUCGCUGUUGCUACAUUAUUUUUAUGGUCAAGCACGUGGAAUCAGACCAUUCAUCAAAACGGUGUGUCGGUGCAGCAACUCAAGGAUUUUUGUAGAAAGUGAUAAGAGUUCAGGAUAGCUGUAUGGAUCCAGAAGUGACUGUCUCACCUCCGCAGAAGAAACUUCAAACAGAAUUUUUCGUUGCUUCAGAUAAUCAGGUUGCCCAUCUCUUCCACAGCCCACAACAUAGCCUUUAAGUUUGACUCCUGUUUAGAUAGGGGAGAACAGAAAGCACGGCGGCUAUGGUCAAGCGGACGGCACUGACUAUCUCUUGUAACCCAGCUAGCACCCCUCAGAGGUCCAGAGCUAUCCCAAGCCAUGCCAACAUUGCAUUUGAUAAAACAAGGGGAGACUUUUCCCAAGAGUUGUGUGAAGACGGCUUGUUUCCAAAGCCGCAGCCUGAUUAUUCUCAUUGUAGUUAACCAUAUACCAAAUAUCUCCCUCUUCCAGCGACUUAGAGAUGCAUGAAGCAGAGGAGAUUCGGCUUUUCUCAAACACCAAAGCAUUUCUCCCUUUCCAAAGGUUCCAGAGUAUCCAAGGGAAGGACUUAAUAUUACCAUAAUCUGUCCUCUGUUUUUUUUUUGUGCUUGCUACCAGAUAGGAAGGUUCAGAAAGAUAGAUGACUGCGAAAAACCAGAGGGAGGAGGCUCUAUUUGUUCCAGACGCCGGGCUUCCACUGCUGUAGGACAGUGAACAGGACAUGAAAAAUCGUUUCCAAGGCUUGACAACACGCAUGACAAAUUGUGUUUGACCAUUCAUAAUUCAAAAGCACAUAAUAUUCACUAAUACACAGGUACAAUAUAAAAAGUAGAGUUAUUAUAUUUAUAUUUGUAGUUUACUAAUUUAUAACAGUAUAAAUGUUUUUCCUAGAAACUUACUGAUGAAGUCUCCCACUUCUUUUUCAAGUCCUCACCACUUAAACGCACGCACAGGCACAGAUGAAUGGUGCACUUGAGGAUGCUGUUGAGUCUGUGAUAGUCUAUAGUAAUUGUUCUGGUCCUCCUAACAAUCCCUCAUUUACAAAUUCUUAGCGAUCUAGACCACCUUUUGAAACCUUAAUUAAAAAUGAUGUAUGCAGAAUGUAACAGACAUCAUACAUAUGACGUUACGUAAUCCCAUCUUAACAAGCCUGAAUAUAAAAAUUUUAUAUAAAAGGUAUUAAUUUCCUAAACCAUUAGAUGAUCAGCGCACUGUCUGUACGGUGAUGCUGGAUCUGCUUUACAAUCAAAAAAAUCUGAAUCGCACUGCAGUGUAUAAAUAUUCAAUAGACAUCAUGAUUGAGUUCUUCUGAAUCGUGGAUCCUACACAGAUUAAUCAAACAAUGAAUGGGAAGCGUCUGAAAUCAUCAGAAAAGGAAAAAAGGAGAAAGGAAAAAUGAACUAAAGCGGAAAAAAUUACACUGGAUUUGGAUGCGGAGGAGAGAGAGAGAUAAGAAGCAUAGAAAACUUGAAACAAAUCUGCAACUCGAUACAAUCUCUUCAAUAUAUAAACUUCUGAACAGUUACAAGAAAAUGAUGACGGUUCCACAGAAGAUCUAGAAGAUCUGAGUGUGAAAAGAUACAACCUUUAAGGAAAAAACAGAUGAUCUGUUUAAGAGACGCCUGUGAGGAGGUAUGAUGAAGCCGUCGAUUGCUAUAGUAAAUCUAGUACGUCAUUCUUUUGUUUCUAAACAAAACCUUAACCAUUAAAUUAUAUCACAGACACGAUUCUCACCAUUAGAUUUUGAUUUUUUUUCCUAUAAUAAAUUGAUGAUGUCAUCAGUUAGAUAAAAAAGAUUUGCUAUUAUAUAUAGAUAAUAAAUAUAUACUAUUUCUAAAUUCAAACCCUAAACCCUAAAACUCAAUUCUAAACCCUAAAUCAUCAAUCAUAAACCAUAUUUUAUUUUGAAAUAUGAACCCUAAACCCUAAACCAUCAACACUAAACCAUAAAUUUUCAACACUAAAACCUAAACCCUAAAAAGUAAACUCUAAACCCUAAAAAGAAAACUCUAAACCCUAAACCCUAAAAUUCAACCCUAAACCCUAAACCAUCAACACUAAACCAUAAAUUUUCAACACUAAAACCUAAACCCUAAAAAGUAAACUCUAAACCCUAAAAAGAAAACUCUAAACCCUAAACCCUAAAAAAUUGCCCCUAAACCCUAAAACAUCUAACUCUAAACCCUAAACCUUCAACUUAAAACCUAAACCCUAAAUCCUAAACCCUAAACCCUAAACCCUAAACCCUAAAACCGUAGAGUUGAUGUUUUAGGGUUUAGAUUUGAAGGUUUAGGGGUUUAGGGUUUACAGUUUACAUUUAGGGUUUAGAGUUGAUUUUUAAGGUUUAGAUUUGAAGGUUUAGGGCUUAGGGUUCAAAUUUCAGUUUAGAUUUGAAGGUUUAGGGUUUAAAGUUAAUGUUUCGGGGUUUAGGGUUUAGAGUUGAUGUUUCAUGGUUUAGAGUUUAGAGUUGAUGAUUUAGGGUUUAAAGUUGAUGUUUUAAGUUUAGAUUUAGGGUCUAGGGUUUACGUUUAGGGUUUAGGGUUUAGGGUUUAGGGUUGAUGUUUUAAGUUAAAUUAGUUAACAAUAUGUUUUCUUUUUGUCAAAGUUAAUCAAAAAGUUAUAAAUGUCUUUUACCCUUCAUUGAAGAUGAAAAGUGUUACUUUGAAAAUAGUAUUUUUGCAAUUUCCCUAAAUAUAUAUUAGGAAAAAUUACAUGUUUACCACUUUCAUGCUACUAUUUUUCAUUUUUACCACCACUAAAGAGACAUUUUCAAAAAUAUGCCAUUAUACUUUAUAUAUAUAAUAAAUAAAAAUUUAAAUAAAUAAAAAUCAAAAAAAUAAAAAAUAAUUUUUAAAUUUUUUUUCGAAUUAUACUAUUUCGAAAUUCAAACCCUGAACCCUACAACUCAACUCUAAACCCUAAACCACCUAUCAUAAACUCUAUUUUUUUGAAAUACAAACCCUAAACCAACUCUAAACCCUAAACCCUAAACCUUCAACUCUAAACCCUAAAACAUCAACUAUAAACCCUAACCUUCAACUCUAAACCUUAAACCAUCAACACUCUAAAAUAUCAACACUAAACCCUAAACCUUAAAAAGUAAACUCUAAACCCUAAACUCUAAAAAAUUAACCCUAAACCCCGAAACAUCAACUCUAAACCCUAAACCCUAAAAUGUAAACUCUAAACCCUAAACCCUUAAAAAUUAACCCUAAACCCUGAAACAUCAACUCUAAACCAUAAACCUUCAACUAUAAACCUUAAAACAUCAACUAUAAACCCUAAACCCUAAACUUCAACUCUAAACCCUAAACUAUCAACUCUAAACCCUAAACCCUAAAAAGUAAACUUUAAACCCUAAAAAAUUAACCCUAAACCCUGAAACAUCAACUCUAAACCCUAAACCUUCAACUCUAAACCAUAAACCUUAAAUCCUAAACCCUAAAACCCUAGAGGUGAUGUUUUAGGGUUUAGAGUUGAAGGUUUAGGGUUUCAGGGUUUAGGGUUUACAUUUAGGGAUUAGAGUUGAUGUUUUAGGGUUUAGAUUUGAAGGUUUAGGGUUUAAGGGUUUAGGGUUUGAAUUUCAGAAAAAUAUCGGGUUUAAGGUUAAGGGUUUAUGUUUAAGGUUUAUGUUUAGGGCUUAGAGUUGAUGUUUUAGGGUUUAGAUUUGAUGGUUUAGAGUUUAGGGUUUAGAGUUGAUGUUUUGGGGUUUAGGGUUUAGAGUUGAUGUUUCAUGAUUUAGGGUGUAGAGUUGAUAAUUUUGGUUUUAAAGUUGAUGUUUUAAGUUUAGGGUUUACGGGUUUAGAGUUGAUGUUUUAGGGUUUAGAUUUGAAGAUUUAGGGUUUAGAGUUUAGAAUUGAUGUUUCGGAGUUUAGGGUUUAGAGUUGAUAUUUCAUGGCUUAGGAUUUAGAGAUUAGAGUUGAUGUUUCAUGGUUUAGAUUAGUUAACCAUAUGUUUUUUUUGUCAAAGUUAAUCAAAAAGGUUAUAAUUGUCUUUUAUCCUUCAUUAAAAUUGAAGGUAAAAAUGAUUAGUGUAAACAUGAAAAGUGGUACUUUGAAAAUGAUAUUUUUGGCAAUUUCCCUAUAUAUUAAGACAAAUAAUUUAACUACAAUUUGGUCGAUAGUGAAAGAAGCAUUAAAAAAAAGAAUAUUUUAACUUCCAAAAAAUUAGAUAUUUCAGUUGUGGUAAAUACUCAAUUAUAAGGUGCUCACGUCAAUUUGCAUCUGUAUGUGUAUGUAAAACUAUAUAAAGAUGGUUGAUAAAUAUAUGAGAAAAUUACAUGUUUACCACUUUCAUGCUACUACUUUUCAUUUUUACCAUUAAAUGAACAUUUUCAAAAAUAUCUUCUUCAUUAAGUGGCAAAAGACUUUUAUGUCUCUUGUUCUUUAUAUAUAUAAUAAAUAAAUAUUCAAAUAAAUAAAAAUAUAAAAAAAUAAAAAAUAUUUUUUUAAAAUUUUUUUUAGAAUUAUACUAUUUCGAAAUUCAAACCUUAAACCCUAAACCAUCAAUCAUAAACUUUUUUUUUUUGAAAUAUGAACCCUAAACCCUNNNNNNNNNNNNNNNNNNNNNNNNNNNNNNNNNNNNNNNNNNNNNNNNNNNNNNNNNNNNNNNNNNNNNNNNNNNNNNNNNNNNNNNNNNNNNNNNNNNNNNNNNNNNNNNNNNNNNNNNNNNNNNNNNNNNNNNNNNNNNNNNNNNNNNNNNNNNNNNNNNNNNNNNNNNNNNNNNNNNNNNNNNNNNNNNNNNNNNNNNNNNNNNNNNNNNNNNNNNNNNNNNNNNNNNNNNNNNNNNNNNNNNNNNNNNNNNNNNNNNNNNNNNNNNNNNNNNNNNNNNNNNNNNNNNNNNNNNNNNNNNNNNNNNNNNNNNNCAACCAUAAUACAUAAUAACUCAAACUUAAAAUAAAAACAAAAAAAAACUAAAUUUAAUGCAUGAUUGAUGAUAUGUUUGAGUUAUCCAUGAGUUAGAAGCUUAACUCAAACUAAAUCAAUGUUACCACAUGUUAUAGAAUACACCGAAUGAAUAUAUUAUUAAGUAUGUGAAAUUUAUUUAUACAUCAGUACAUGUAGGGUUAUUAACAAUACUAAGUAAUUGCAAAGAGAUCCUUUGAGUAUAUAUUAUUUACUUAACAUGCCCCCUCAAGAUGGUGGUGUUGUGGUAACACCAAUCUUGGACCUUGAAGACUGAAAAGGAGCUCGUGCGAGUGGCUUAGUCAGACCAUCAGUGAGCUAAUCAUGUGUAGAGACGUGUUGCACACGUAGACGGUGAUUCUGUAUCUGGCCGCGGACAAAGUGAUAAUCAAGGGCUAUAUGUUUCAUCCUAGAGUGGAAAACUGGAUUGGCGCAAAGAUAGGUGGCGCCAAGGUUGUCACAGUACGCGGUUUGAGUUGCAGUAACAGGCACGCCAAGCUCAAGAAGAAGAGAGACUACCCAGCUAAGCUCGGAUGCAGUGUUCGCAACUGCGCGAUAUUCCGCUUCUGUUGAGGAGCGAGUCACGCCUUUUUGCUUCUUUGUUGACCAUGAAACAGGCUGAGAACCCAAGAAGAUGAGAUAUGCAUUUGUUGAUACGUAAUCAUCGGAGUCUCCAGCCCAGUCCACGCCAGAAUAGGCAUGAAGAGUUGAUGUUUGCUGUUUACACAACAUUAUUCCAUGAUCAAGAGUACCAUAGAGAUAGCGAAGGACUUGUUUAACUGCUUGCCAGUGAUCUGAAGUAGGACAGUGCAUAUACUGUGAGAGUUUAUUGACAGCGUAUGACACACCAGGGCGUGUUAGAGCAAGGUACAGGAGGCUACCGACGAUCCUGCGAUAGGGCUGCGGAUCAGCUAGUGGCGAACCAGAGUUGAGUGUGAGCUUUGAAUGAGUAGGAAGCAGAGUUGCAACCGGCUUAGGAUGUAGCAUGUCCGCUUUCUCAAGAAGAUCGGUAAUGUACUUCCUUUGUUUGAGAUGUAAGCCUUGUGAUGUACGAACAACUUCAAUGCCUAGAAAAUAACUCAGGUUGCCCAUAUCCUUGAUAGAGAAUCAAGUAGCAAGAGAGGAGUUGACUUGUUGAACCAGGUUCGAAUCACUGCCAGUGACUAAGAUGUCAUCAACGUAUACCAAGACAUAGACAAACUUCGCUUGUUGCUUGUAGAUAAACAGUGAUGUGUCCGCCAAAGAGUUAUGAAAUCCAGACUGAAUCAGAUAGGACUUAAGCUCAGAGUACCAAGCACGCAAUGCUUGUUUUAAACCAUAGAGUGCCUUGCAAAGCCGGCAAACAUGAUUGGGUUGAUCCUUAUCAGUGAAGCCCGGAGGUUGUGACAUGAAGACUUCUUCAUUGAGAUGCCCUUGGAGAAAAGCCGUGUGUUGACAUCUAUCUGUCUAACCGGCCAUUCAUUGUUAACCGCCAAGCCUAGAACAAUCCUGAUCGUUGUAGAUUUAAUGACUGGACUAAAGAUGUCCUCAUAAUCAACGCCUUGUUGCUGAUGAUAUCCUCUAGCAACAAUACGAGCUUUGUAGCGAUCGAUGGUUCCAUCAGAGUUAUACUUGAUAGUAAAUACCCAGCGACAGCCAACCACAUUCAUAGUUUUAGUAACCUCAACCAAAUCCCAAGUCGAGUGCUCAGAAGUAGAAUUGAAUUCUUUGGACAUUACAUCACGCCAGUGUUUAUGUUUCAUGGCCUAUUGCCAAGUAGAUGGAAUCCAGUGGGGAUCGGCCUGCAAGCUUGCAGUAAGGUUGUAUCGAGCAACUGGUUUGACAAUGUUGUUCUUGGAACGUGUGGUCAUUUGAUGCCGAGGCUCUGCAUGCUGUGGUUGUGUAGAAGCAGGUUGAGUAGCAACCAGCGGUUCAGAGGGCACUGGCAGAGACGUAGUGGUUGGAGCAGCAGAUGAGGACGAUGAAGCUUUUGUAGUCAUUGUGGUCUGUUGAUGUUGCUGUGUUGGUGAGGAAUCUCUGCUCGGUGAUCCAGCGGUCGCGGUCGCAGAAGGAGAUUGCAUAAGUGGUGGCGUGUAGGGUAUAACAGUUACGGGUUGUGAGGCAGAAGGAUGAGGAGGCUCAGAAGAUUCAGUAGUUGCUGGAGUGGUUAACGUGGGGAAGGGAUACUCUGUUUCAUUGAAGCGUACAUGAAGAGACGUAUAUAUCAUCGUCUCCAAAGAAUGUAAACAAAUAACAGAUAGAGAUCACGUACCUGACCCAUACAGUGGGCAAUAUCGAGAUACUCAUCUCGGUUAGUCAGGUCCUUGAGCGCUGGAAGGGGACAUCCCACGCUCUUCAGGUGCCUCAUUAUCGCAGCUAGGCCCCAAGAGUCAUCCAGGAUCGACCCAGGCUUCGAAUGGGUAAAGCUCCACCCAACAGUCCCUCCUCUAGAGGACGAGGAAGAAGAACGGAUGGAAGCUCCGCCCUGAUCGGUCCUGGGCCUCUUGUGUCUCGACGGCUCGAUCUCAGAGGUACCCUUCGGAGCCUGGUAGUCAGCCUCCGGCACCUGGACCUCAGGGAGAGGAGCAGCAUCCUGAGCUACAACCUCAGUUGGAGUAGUCUCGACAACAGGUUUGGAUCCUCCGUCGUCCAAAACUUCCUUCAUUGAGAUAAGGAACGAUCCUCCUUGGUUCCUGUCGCUUCCACGAGAAGCACUGGCAGCUUUAGAGGGGUUACCCCUAGAACGGAAUGACGGUCGCAGAGUCAUGUCACCUGGCUGAGACUUUUCAGUUCCCGAAGCACUAGCACCAGUUGAGAUCGAUACAACCGAAUCGCCUGCCGAAACUGGAACAAUGGAAAUCCUUAAGUUUAAAAACUUCAAAGCGAUAAAAUCAUUGAAAAGGUUCGAACAAGAACUUACUCUCAAGGUUCUCAGUAGGAAUGGGAUCUUGGAAAGAGGCGUUGUAGGUAUCUGGGAAUCUGGCUGCACUUAUUCGAGAAGUGGUGUAGGCCACCCAGGUACAGGGACUCUGUUGCAACUUGCGGUAUAGAGCCCUGGUGAGCUUGGUAGAGAGCUUCGGGGGAUCUUCGAUUUCUGCAAGUAAAUCAGAGCAAAAGGAUAGGAUCAUACAUUGAUACAUUUAGAUGCGAUUACUGCGGGUCAAAUCUAUUCCUUAAUGUCGGUGUUUACUAAUCAAAUGAUAGAAAACAUAGAACUUAGGAGUUGACAUGUCCAUUAGCCAUCAACAGAAACAUGUGCACUUCACCAAAAUUUCUUAAUACAACCAAAUAAAUCAUAUGACGACCCCCAUGAUCUCGCCUUCUCUCAUCUAGCUAUAUAUAUUCCAUAAAUUACGUAUGUAAGCACGUACACACAUCCAACAGUAUCUGAAUAGAUUAGUGCUGUUGGCCAAUGAUUUUAGGAUCUGACAAUUUAGAAUAUUUCAGUGACUUUCAUUUCACACAAACAAUCCAUUUCAGAUUAUUUGGUGAGAAGUUUCGCUCAAAGAUUUAUCAGAUUAAUUAAAUGGACACUACGUCAUACCAACACUGUGAAAUUUAAACUAGAUGUAUGUAUACUAUGUAAUUUGGAUGAUUCGGCUAAAUUAAAACUUUCACAAUCGCAAGUUUCAGUCUCUGUGGGAAGAGAAGUGGUGGUGGCAGUGAGGUCACAUGGAGAGCCCACAAAUAACAUAAGAAAAUGAUUAUCCGGGAUUCUUAGUGGGUUUUUUAGUGCGUGGGCCACCACAAAAUCCUUAAGGAUCGGUUACAAAAACUACUAAUUAAGAACCGAUCUUAGUGAGUUUCUUACACUGUUCGCAGGUCCCACUGACACGUGGCGGCCCGCGAUUGGUUUGCUUUUUAAUUUUUUUUUUUUUUUUAAAAAAAAACUAAGAAACCCAAAAACUAAGAAAUCCAUUGGGUUUUUUAGGGAUAAUCAUGGCCUUAGAUGCCUUGAAGAAAGACCGAGCAUGUAUGGAACCCUCACCUGUCUUGUCAAAUCCGCUCCGUCUCUAAAAAAAAAAAAAACCAACAACAACCUAUUGGCGGACUAUCUAUUAGCAUCAGUAUCUAUUUGCAUGGACACGGAAACUACAUGCAAUGCCGUCCCAUAAUUUGGGAUGACCUAAAGCACAAAAAAAAUUGUGUGGCCUAUUAUAUAAAUACCAACAAUAUAUAGCAAUACACUAACAUCAAACCAGUACAAAAGUGUAAAAAGUAAUCAAAUGGUUAAAAUAAAAACUAUAUUGGACAAAAGGGGGAUCGAACUAUGGUAUCCUAACUCAAUUCAAACUUGUUAACGAUUAGACCUAGCUAAUAUUUGGUGAUAUGUGGCCUUAAUUUUUCUUCUAUAUAUUGUGGCCUAAAGCAUAUGCUCUAGUUGCCUUAUGGCAGGGACGGGCCUGACUACAUGAAAUCAAUGUCGAAAGACAUCAAUAAAGUCAAUGCACUGAGCGUAUGUGAAAAUCCUCCAUUGUUACUUAACAACACUCGCAAGGACAUAUGCCACAGUAACCUAUCUCCCCCAACAACAUAAAAGAAAAAUGCGACCAAUCUUACUAUUACAAACAAAUAAAAUAAAUGAUAUAUUUCAUAUAAAACCUACUCUACAAAAUUUUAUAUUUUAUGCUUCAACUAUUAGUCAUUCAAUUUGUUUAUUCAAAAAAUAUAAACGUUAUUUCACUACUUUGAAAUAAAUUUAUACACCUCGCGUAUGUCAAUAAAAUAGCAAUCCCUCGUAUACAGAAUAUACAUCCAAUUGAUAAAUGUAAAGCUGAUCCUCAACAUCGUUGAGACUUCCAUAAUAACGGCUCCACAAUUUAAACAAAUAGCUACAACAUCAACUUAUUUGUUCAAAAAAAUUCUUUACUGAUAUUUUACGCUAAGAAAAACAUCAGACAAUUUCUAUUCAGGGAUGGUCUAUAUUUUUUUCAACGGAGAUCACUAAGAGAUUUUGCUUAUAAUUUAGUAGGCUGAAAAAGAUUUCUUCCCAUUAUUAUAUAUACUAGGGACAUUGCCCCCGCGCAAGCGCGGGGUUGUGGACAAAGUUCUUGUUUCAUCUCAAUAUUUUUGCUAGGGUUAUUGUAGUUGUGAAUUUUGCGUUUUGAGUUGUUUUUCAAGUUUUUUUUAUUGUUGUUAUAGGGUUAGAGUUGUGAUGAUAAACUGUGUAUGCAUUGUUCUCCACUUAUGAAGGACUAAACUGUGUUAGUAAUGUGAUUGAUAUAAUUCGUGUUGUUGUUUGUUGUGUCACUGAAACUUAUUGUUUGUUUGUCUUUUUAAUUUGUUUCUUGUACUGUUGAGAGUACAUAAAUUAUAUUAAAGUUGUUGAAAAUACUUUUUGUUUCUGGAUAUUUUUUCUCCAGUUUAGUCGUGUAAGUUGUGUGUAUUAAGUAAUAAUUUUUAUUAUCCUUAUUAUGUUUGUAAUAUUUUUUUAUUUUAUUUUUAAACUUGUUGCUCUUAUUGGACCUUUAAAACAAAUACAUGAAGACUUGUAGAAAUAACUAUAAGAUGAGUGACAGUUCUGAGUAUUUGGGCUUUAAUGAGUUUUAAACGAAUUUAUGUAUUUUUCAUAAGAAGAUAAUAGCAUUGGCCUGUUGACAUUGGACAUGUAAGCUAUUUUUAUAAGACAAGAGGAGUGAGCAGGUGGAGCUGUUGUUGCCACCUUUGUGUCUGUCGGGAUUGUCUCUUGUAUCUCUUGUUGUGGCUGUGUUUGUUUAUUUUUUAUUUGAUGGGGAAUAUGUGAACAAAAAUCAUUGUUAGUUGUAUUUAUCAUAGUUCAUAACUUACUUUGCUUUUUUGUUUAGUAAUUUCAUUGAUCUUGGUUGUCGUAUUCGUCUUUUUCGUUGCAAAAGUAAGUUUGUAAAUUGUUAAAUAGCUGACCGUGUAGUUUGUAUUUGUUUAACUGACUCGAUGUAUGUGUCGUUGCGAAAGUAAGUUUGUAAAUUGUUAAAUAGCUGGCCGUGUAGUUUGUAUUUGUUUAGAUGACUCGAUGUAUGUGUCGUUGAGUUUUAGUUGAAAUGAUUAGUUUGGCAUAUUUGUUUUGAAGUUUAUUUCUAAGAUUAGACAAAAAGGAGAGGUGAUCAUUAAUGAUUCGUCUUUUUUGGAAUUCUAGUUUUUGAUGUUUUGAUUGUUUGGGUUGUUGUGGUUUCUUUUAAGCUGUAAAAUAAAGAUUUGUGUAAAAUUAGUUUGAUAAGUAAGAGAGAAAAAUAGACGACCACAGAAUUUGGGUAGGAAAUAUUUUUGAUUAUUGAUGUUAGCACAAUAUAGAUAAUAGUAUAAAGAGAAUUGUGUGUUGAUUGUUUCUUACGGAUCAAUUAGGAGAUGGAUAACGACUCUAGUUGUUUCUUUGCUAAGGUCAGAGCCUUGGACAGAACGGAUUUGCCCAACUACAUCUGCGAGUUUAAAUAUCAUUUAUGAUAACAAAACAUAUUAUAAACUCAGAUGCAAUAUAAUAAUAUACCUGAGAGUUCUAGGUUUGUGUUCGCAAUGGCUUGGAAAUUGUCAAAUCGUCUAAUUAUGAUUGGAGAUUGAUCUCAGGAGCACCCGUGAUGACUUCAUCAAUAAUAGUACUUCAUCAAUAAUAGUUGGUGAAAUGAAACAAAUGAGGAAUGUAUGAUCAAUUAUCUUGUACAUGCUUGAGCAUCUAGCAACCUCAAAACGAUCGACUUUCAGUCUUUCACAAUGGAACUGGCUUUCAAAGAUGGCAUGUAAUGAUUAGCACGUCCGGCGGGAAUAAACCCAUGAAUCACAGAAUCUGCAAAUAAUAUUAUUUAACAAAGAAUCAGGAAAUCAAUUAAAAAUAAUUAUAUUAAAUAAGUGUGAUAAAUCGAAGAUUAACUUACCUUUUCAUCAAGGAAGAGAACCGUGAUUCGCAUAAACUCAAUGUCUUUCUUGAAGUUCAGAGAAUUCCAUAAGCGCGGAGGUUAGAGGCUAUGCUCUGACUACUACGACCAACACGGAGAGACUCGAAGGUUGAGUGACGGAUGCCGGAAACGCCGGUUUGAGGAACUGAAGAGGCAGAAAGACAUUUUCUAGAAGAUCCUUAAAGCUAAGAGGAAUCAAUGAGUUUUGUGGAGAUGCAAAUUGGGUUCAUCAAAGAUGAUAAUCAUAUAUAUAGGGUUUAAAGAAAGGCUACAAAUCAGGAACAUUUAAGAUCAAGCGAUUUAAGAUGGGGAGAUAAAGAGUUCACCGGUGAAAAAAUAGAUUACGAACAGACACACAGCGCNNNNNNNNNNNNNNNNNNNNNNNNNNNNNNNNNNNNNNNNNNNNNNNNNNNNNNNNNNNNNNNNNNNNNNNNNNNNNNNNNNNNNNNNNNNNNNNNNNNNNNNNNNNNNNNNNNNNNNNNNNNNNNNNNNNNNNNNNNNNNNNNNNNNNNNNNNNNNNNNNNNNNNNNNNNNNNNNNNNNNNNNNNNNNNNNNNNNNNNNNNNNNNNNNNNNNNNNNNNNNNNNNNNNNNNNNNNNNNNNNNNNNNNNNNNNNNNNNNNNNNNNNNNNNNNNNNNNNNNNNNNNNNNNNNNNNNNNNNNNNNNNNNNNNNNNNNNNNNNNNNNNNNNNNNNNNNNNNNNNNNNNNNNNNNNNNNNNNNNNNNNNNNNNNNNNNNNNNNNNNNNNNNNNNNNNNNNNNNNNNNNNNNNNNNNNNNNNNNNNNNNNNNNNNNNNNNNNNNNNNNNNNNNNNNNNNNNNNNNNUUUAGGGUUUAAAGUUUAUACUACACAAUUAACAAAUAUCCCGCGCGUAGCGCGGACAAGCCACUAGUAAUAUAUAAUUUUGGAUUAUUAAAUAUUGCUUGAAUGUUAUUGGAUAACAAAAUACAUGACUUUUGAUUGGAUGGAAAUACGGCCGGCAAAUUAAUUUUUAAAAAAAUCUAAAAAAGUAAUAAAUUGCCAUUGUAAAUAAUUCUAAAACUAAGGGUAGAAGAAUCCUAGGAGGGAUUUUGCUUUAAUAGUAGGGGAAAUUACAUGUUUACCAAUUUCAUGCUACCACUUUUCAGUUUUACAAUCACUAAAGGGACACUUAUGACCUUGUUCUUUAUAUAUACUAGGAAACAAAUCCGCGCAUUCGCGCGGGCAAUCAAAAUCCUUUACCAAAAACUAAAUUAUUUAAUAUUCAUAAAUUGUAUAUAUUUAAUAAUUAUAUAUAUAAUACUUUUUUUAUUUUUUCAUUUAAAUACUGAAUAUAUUAGCUUAAAAUAAAAAAAUCAACAACAUAAGGAAAAAGAUGUAAAAUGUAUAUAACAAAUUAAAUAUAAAUUGACUUUUGAAUUUAUAGAACAAUAGAUAUACUUUUUUAUUAGUAAUAUCGGUUGAGACAAUGGUAAAGACUGGCUAGACAAGAAGUUCAUGUUCAGUAUUAGGAAUAUCAACCUUUUGUUUAAUCUUUGCGGAUUCUUUAAUCUACGGGACAGCUGUCUCGACACGAAUUUUUUUUUUCCUUCUGUAAUGUAGAAAUUAAAAUUAAUUCCUCUCUUGCGUGUUUACUAUUUCACUGCCAUGGCAUUUAUCGGAGUAAAUCAUAUUCUAUAAAUAUGAUAUUUAUCUAGUAUGAUCAACUGGAUGAAGCAGAGGACAUAUAGUCAUGGACUAAAGCAAGCUAUGAAAAGUAACUGCUUACAGACUACCAAGAUAUAUGAUAUAUGAGAUCGAUGAUAUCGAUGAAGUUUUUUUUUUUUUUUCAAACUUACAACUUUAUUAUAUCGAUGAAGUUUAUUUUCAAAUCUUUCUUUUAAAAGUUUGGGAGCCCUUCAUCUCAACAAGUAUUUUAUAGAGGACUCAGUUUCAGGUCUUGACAUUGGCAUAACAAAAAGGCAUCCUUGUCGCAACAAAGCCCAUAUACAGUGAUAAAAUAGUAGAUUCACUUUGUAUUUUUCUUACCUAUAAUCGGUAUUUUUAGCAUGUGCAAUCAUCUAAUAAAUGCUACUUGGGUGUCAUCCUUGUCUUGUUGUGCAGUUUCCUAAUGUUCCUCGCCAAGGAUUUGAUUCAGAGUAUAAUUCUUACCAAUAAAUGUAAAUCUCUUAAUUUAGACUUUGAUCUCUAGGCAUUUUCUUGAAUUAGAUGGGGUAUGCCCUUUUUUUUUCUUGACCAAACCAUAUUUUCAUUACUACUUUAAAUCCAAGGUUUAAGGAGCAUACAAAGCUGAUUUAGCAAAAGAAUCAACUUCAAAAAAUCUUUUCACAAAAAUAAACCACUUAAAUAAUACACCAGUUGAAAUACAUAUAAUGUUUUUAAUGUACAUAAAAAUAAAGUAAUAGUUUUAAAUUAAAGAAUUUGAAAAUGUGUCAAAAGGACAAAGGAAAUAUCAUAUGUUGUUUUGGUAACUUAAAACAAAAAGUUCUUUGUGAUUAUACUAACAAUUAAUUAAAUCUAACGCAUGUAACAAAAAUGAGGAUAGUUUAACAUCUCAAUUUAAAAAUACCAUAAAUGAAACAAUUGUUUUAACUUUUGUCAAAUAUUAGGUUACACAAAUCUCUUUUUAUGAUAAGUAAAGUUUAUGUUUUAUCAAAACUAAGAUACAUAAAUAUAAAAAGAAAUUCUAAUGUUUGUAUGUGAUUCUUCAAAAGUCUUCUAUGAUCAUUUAGAUCUUAAAGUAGUUACAAUGGUUAUUUUUUAAAAAUUGUAAUGAUUUUUAUAAAUAGUUGUAAAUCUUCAUCUAAGCAAUUGCAAUGAUUCAUUUAGAUGAUUUUAUCCAUUAAAUCUGCAACAGAACAUUCUAUGUUCUCAGCCUUUUGUUUUGCUUAAAUAUGAUGAUUUUAUUCAAGACCGUUGGAAUUUGAAUAAUAUGGUACUGAAUAAUGUUUAUAUAUCUUUACUUAUCACAUAAUUUGUAUACUAUGGUACUGUAUAUUAGCGACACUUGUUUGAAAGUAAGAUUCAUAUUUUUCAAUAGCUUUAAACUAUCUUGAAAAUUUUAUUAUUUUCAAAAUUUUAAGAUAUAAUGAAAUUUUUUAUCAAAAUUUUGAUUUGAGAGCGUUUUGAAAAUUGAAGUUAGGAGAAAAUGUUGUACAAAUUGUAAUAUAUAGAGUUGAAAAAUAUUAGUUUAUAAACUCUUCAAGAAAAAAGCAGUUAUAAAAGAAAGAAAAAUAUAAUUUAUAGCCAAAAAAAACAUUAUCUUCAAUAAAAUUAGUGAAGUAAGUUUUAACUUUUUUAAUUUUUGAAAGUAAGUUUUGAUAAAGAGUCACAUUUGUAAAAACCAUUUGCUGGGAUUCUUUGAUUGUGUUUUUUUUUAACACUUAGAAAAACUGAGAAACAGACAACAAGAUACCAGCAGGUACCGUAGAGAUCUAAAGAGAAACAUGAAAGAACUAAGCCAAAAGAAACAAGAUGGCAAUUAAAGGUGCCACUGGCACAUAUCCCCUGAGCCAGCCAAUGGAAUAGAAAAUUAGACACCUGCCUCCUGUUGGAUAGCUUGAUGAAGCCAGCAAGGUCCACCAGCGGGUGACAUAAGAUUGCGUACAGAAGUAUGAGACCACACUAUCUGCAAUCGCUGUUGCUACAUUAUUUUUAUGGUCAAGCACGUGGAAUCAGACCAUUCAUCAAAACGGUGUGUCGGUGCAGCAACUCAAGGAUUUUUGUAGAAAGUGAUAAGAGUUCAGGAUAGCUGUAUGGAUCCAGAAGUGACUGUCUCACCUCCGCAGAAGAAACUUCAAACAGAAUUUUUCGUUGCUUCAGAUAAUCAGGUUGCCCAUCUCUUCCACAGCCCACAACAUAGCCUUUAAGUUUGACUCCUGUUUAGAUAGGGGAGAACAGAAAGCACGGCGGCUAUGGUCAAGCGGACGGCACUGACUAUCUCUUGUAACCCAGCUAGCACCCCUCAGAGGUCCAGAGCUAUCCCAAGCCAUGCCAACAUUGCAUUUGAUAAAACAAGGGGAGACUUUUCCCAAGAGUUGUGUGAAGACGGCUUGUUUCCAAAGCCGCAGCCUGAUUAUUCUCAUUGUAGUUAACCAUAUACCAAAUAUCUCCCUCUUCCAGCGACUUAGAGAUGCAUGAAGCAGAGGAGAUUCGGCUUUUCUCAAACACCAAAGCAUUUCUCCCUUUCCAAAGGUUCCAGAGUAUCCAAGGGAAGGACUUAAUAUUACCAUAAUCUGUCCUCUGUUUUUUUUUUGUGCUUGCUACCAGAUAGGAAGGUUCAGAAAGAUAGAUGACUGCGAAAAACCAGAGGGAGGAGGCUCUAUUUGUUCCAGACGCCGGGCUUCCACUGCUGUAGGACAGUGAACAGGACAUGAAAAAUCGUUUCCAAGGCUUGACAACACGCAUGACAAAUUGUGUUUGACCAUUCAUAAUUCAAAAGCACAUAAUAUUCACUAAUACACAGGUACAAUAUAAAAAGUAGAGUUAUUAUAUUUAUAUUUGUAGUUUACUAAUUUAUAACAGUAUAAAUGUUUUUCCUAGAAACUUACUGAUGAAGUCUCCCACUUCUUUUUCAAGUCCUCACCACUUAAACGCACGCACAGGCACAGAUGAAUGGUGCACUUGAGGAUGCUGUUGAGUCUGUGAUAGUCUAUAGUAAUUGUUCUGGUCCUCCUAACAAUCCCUCAUUUACAAAUUCUUAGCGAUCUAGACCACCUUUUGAAACCUUAAUUAAAAAUGAUGUAUGCAGAAUGUAACAGACAUCAUACAUAUGACGUUACGUAAUCCCAUCUUAACAAGCCUGAAUAUAAAAAAUUUAUAUAAAAGGUAUUAAUUUCCUAAACCAUUAGAUGAUCAGCGCACUGUCUGUACGGUGAUGCUGGAUCUGCUUUACAAUCAAAAAAAAUCUGAAUCGCACUGCAGUGUAUAAAUAUUCAAUAGACAUCAUGAUUGAGUUCUUCUGAAUCGUGGAUCCUACACAGACUAAUCAAACAAUGAAUGGGAAGCGUCUGAAAUCAUCAGAAAAGGAAAAAAGGAGAAAGGAAAAAUGAACUAAAGCGGAAAAAAUUACACUGGAUUUGGAUGCGGAGGAGAGAGAGAGAUAAGAAGCAUAGAAAACUUGAAACAAAUCUGCAACUCGAUACAAUCUCUUCAAUAUAUAAACUUCUGAACAGUUACAAGAAAAUGAUGACGGUUCCACAGAAGAUCUAGAAGAUCUGAGUGUGAAAAGAUACAACCUUUAAGGAAAAAACAGAUGAUCUGUUUAAGAGACGCCUGUGAGGAGGUAUGAUGAAGCCGUCGAUUGCUAUAGUAAAUCUAGUACGUCAUUCUUUUGUUUCUAAACAAAACCUUAACCAUUAAAUUAUAUCACAGACACGAUUCUCACCAUUAGAUUUUGAUUUUUUUUCCUAUAAUAAAUUGAUGAUGUCAUCAGUUAGAUAAAAAAGAUUUGCUAUUAUAUAUAGAUAAUAAAUAUAUACUAUUUCUAAAUUCAAACCCUAAACCCUAAAACUCAAUUCUAAACCCUAAAUCAUCAAUCAUAAACCAUAUUUUAUUUUGAAAUAUGAACCCUAAACCCUAAACCAUCAAUCUUAAACCCUUUAUUUUUUUUUCGAAUUAUACUAUUUUGAAAUAUGAACCCUAAACCCUAAACCAUCAAUCUUAAACCCUUUUAUUUUUUGAAAUACAAACCCUAAAUCCUGAAACAUCAAUUCUAAACUCUAAACCUCGAAACAUCAACUCUAAACCCUAAACCUUCAACUCUAAACCCUAAAACAUCAACUCUAAACCCUAAACCCUAAAAUUCAACCCUAAACCCUAAACCAUCAACACUAAACCAUAAAUUUUCAACACUAAAACCUAAACCCUAAAAAGUAAACUCUAAACCCUAAAAAGAAAACUCUAAACCCUAAACCCUAAAAAAUUGCCCCUAAACCCUAAAACAUCUAACUCUAAACCCUAAACCUUCAACUUAAAACCUAAACCCUAAAUCCUAAACCCUAAACCCUAAACCCUAAACCCUAAAA
This 82441-nucleotide long non-coding RNA is filed under the name Brassica napus (rape). RNAcentral describes it as "long non-coding RNA (BNAP_LNC021840)". The stretch from base 6432 to 6556 matches the Rfam family "MIR9563 microRNA precursor family". Lineage: Eukaryota; Viridiplantae; Streptophyta; Magnoliopsida; Brassicales; Brassicaceae. The record is from RNAcentral.